AGUACGAUAAGUAAAAAGUGAUUUCUCAAAAAAUAUUAUAAAAUUCUUUAUUUAGUCAUUUUAUAUCUUUUGUAUGGUUUUUUUAUUUUUAUUUGUUAGUUGGUUUGGGACAACGCACAGCAAAUUAUUUAUUUUUUUUUCUAAGAAUUAUUUAUGUUUUACUAAUAUUAUGAUUUGAGUAAUAACAUUGCAUGUGUUCGUUUUAAUAACAAGUUAACUGUAACAAAAAAAAACACUGAUAAAAUUUAGUAACCGGUUAUGUCACAAAAUUACGUCAUCAAAAAGAGAAGAGUGAUGCUAGUGACAGUUUGUAACGACAAAUUGGUGGUUGUUUAAUUAAUUUAUUGUGGACAUUCAAUUACUUGUGCAAUAGCUAUUUUAUUGGAGGACGAAAUAUCAUAAUGAAGAUGCCGAUAUGGUUAUGAUCACGAUUUUAGUGGUGAGGUGAAAAAGGGACUGACGUGCGUCACGUGCUUCAGAUACUAUCUGAUGGUGGAAUAUAAAACGUCUGUUUUGAAUACAAUCUCAAUUCAUGUAUACAUUUGCAAGAUGUACAUGUAGGAAAAAUCGACUAAGACUGGUCAAGCUUAGAAACCGUAAAUCUCCAUUUAUGAUGAAAUCGUCGAUAUUUGUGAAUAAUACUUACAUAUAUAAUUCAGGCUAUUUCAGAGUAUUAGCUUUAUUAUAUAUAUGUGUGUGCUUUAAUGUAGGAAAUUUGUAUAUGUAUUAAUUUCUACUUUUAUUUCAAAAGAUUUUGUCUUGAGAAUCUUCCACCAACCUGAUAUACGUUAUUUUUCCAUAACAUUUUCGUGUAGUACAGUAUCGGUGGAGCAUCUUGUUGACACCAAUGCGUGUUAGCUUUUUAUUUUGCCUAGAUGAUACAGAUAAAUGUAAAGAUAUUCAAUCUGCGUUUAUUAAGUUGUAGGAUAUGGAGAAUACAUAAGCACUAACACAACAACAGUAAGAUGUAACAACAAGAGACAACACACCAUGGGAUGAAAGAAGAAGAAUAACAACGAUGAAAACACAAAUUAACUUUGAAAUAUCAUAAAAAUCAAUAAUAUAUAUGGAUCAUCAGUUCUUGCGAAGCGCGAUGAGGUACUGCAUUCCUGGUUUGGCAUUCUGGAUGCGAGAAAACUCUUCACGUGCCUUGACCUCGACGAGUUCAAAGGCUUUCCUCAUUGUGUCCACUCCAAAAUGUGCCGAUAGGAGAGCUCCACAGCAAGCUCUAAAGGAGACGGCGAGGAUCUUGGGGUCUAACGGAAACUCCCCGUUUGGAUGAAUGAUAUCCUCAAAAGCCUCAAUUGUGAACUUCCCAUUCUCCUUUAUGAUUUCCCUUAAUUCGCUUUCUUCUGCAACGUAGAGUGGUGUGCUAAAAGAGUCAACCUUAUCUUGGUCGAUGACACCCUAUUUUUUAAUCAUAAGAUUCGUUAGGAUACGAUAGUUAUGUAACUGUAGUCAUGGAGAUAAUUAAUUAGUUUAAGAUGAAACUAUAUAUAUGUACCUGUUGAGCAAGAUCGUUAAGAGAAGCUCCGAUGAAAUCCAGCACCAUUCCUUUAGCGGUCUCCGACAUCUUAACUCCGUCUCUUAAACCUGAUCCGAAAAGCAGCAUCAAUCCCCCGGGGAGGAUCUCCUCAGCUCUAGCGUCUAAUAGAUUCUUGGUGUCGGCUGAGUACUGAUCAAGAUAUGCUUUCUUGACUGCUUCGUUGAAGCCAGUGCAGUGCAUGUCUCUGUUCCACAGAGGAGAGUCUCGGUCGGUGAUCCCUUGGGGAUUUUUUGAGGUGAAAUGGAAAGCAUAACUGAUAACUCCUAUGUGGAAACUAUGUUUAGGGAGAACACGGCCGAAGAAGGAGCCCGGAACACCAGCACUAUAGUAGCGUCUGCCCGCAGGAAGUGCCUGGAAGAGAGUGUUGAAAUCGUUGGUGGUAGAAUCAUUGAAGAGGACUUGGAACUCGAUGUUCUCCGCCGGGUUUUCUCCGGUUGCCUUGCGGUACUUGUCUUCUACUACAUUAAUUAUGUUUUGUACUGCCACAAAAGUGUUAGGUCCACUCGCACAACCAAAAUCCGCAACAAUGAAGCGACCAGAUAUCAUGUCGAGGCUCAGUUUGGCUGAGAUAGCCUCGUUCAUCUUCUCUUUUGCGGCUUCCAACAAUGCUCCCUUCAAAACAAAUUAAAAAAAUGAAUCACGAGAUUGUUACUACACACACAUCGAUAUGAAUUUUUAACGUGUCAAAAUCAUAUUAUCAUAAAUAAACCUGAUACGAUGAGUGUUUGUUGUAACUCUCAGGACCUUCUCCUCCAAUCAUGAUCCAUUGUGGAGUAGUUGCCAUGACCGAUAUCUCUUUUCUUGUUUGAUCCUUGGUAUUUGAUGAGAACUGUGAUGAACUAUGGACGUCUACAUGCAUAUUUAUAUUAUAUUCAUUGUGCUUUCUCCUUGCUUUUUUAUUUAACUUUAUUUUAUUAUUAUGUCUUGUCGUCUCUUCUUGCUUAAACUUAAAAGAGCAUUAUGGGAUUUGAUUUACUACAAUAAUAUAUGAAAAUAACCGAGUGCCCACACUGUACUCGUUUGCGAAUUAUUGAUAAUUUUUUUUUUGUAAACUAAUUAUUGAUAAUUUAGCCAUGUGCUAAUGUGCUCUUUAUUCGUGACUUUUUUGAUAAAACGUAAAUAUCAUUUCAGAAAUAACCAUUUUUUUGCUUCAAAGCCAUGUGCUAAUGUACUCUUUGUUUGUGAAUUUUUGCUAAAAUAAAUAUCAUUUCAAAAAUAAAAAGCUCAGGUUUUACACGAUGUGAUCAACAAAUUAUAAGAUCUCUAAAUUUGAUCCCACAAUAAAAAAGGUAAAAAUCAUGGAAGCAAAAACAACUCAACCUUAAACCGUUCUGCUUUGAAGCAAAAAAAACAACAAAUAACGAUAAAAUCUCGAAUAAUCAGAUGACAGGUUGAACCGAAAUAGAAAAGAAAAGAGAAACCCCAAAGAACACAACGUUAACAAGAAGCUGACUCAUACGGCUGCCUAAACAAAUUACCUUUCCCAGACAAGCAAAAUAAACCAUUCAAGGACUGCCCUUGAGGUCGGAGUUGGAAUAAUAAAGUGAACCCAAGUUCCAGCAAAAGAUCUGACAAUACUCACCAUAUCUCCUAAAUCUCUUAGACAUUAUUUGAGAAUUAAUUUUUUAAGAAAAAUUACUUAUGUGGUAUCACCACAAUUAUUUUCACUAGAAAAAGAUGACAUGUCUUAGUGAAAACGAUGACAUGUUUUAAUUCUUAUUAUGACAUGUCACAUUUUAUUUAUGAAGUUUUACAUUUUUGUCAAAAAAAAAUUUAUUAAAAAAAAGUUUUACAUAUUUAGUAAGAUGCUUUAAAUAUAAUAAUAACUGAUGAGUAUCAACACUAAUGAAAAUUUUAAAUUAACAACAUAAUUAUAAAUAUGUUUUUUACAUUAGCAUAGAAUUGAAAAAUAAAAUUAUGUAAAUGUUUAUAUUUUUCAAAAUUAAUUGUGAAUAUAGUUGAUAUUUUUUGUCAGCAUUUGUUAAUUAAGUUACAUAGUCAACAUGAGUCUGUAAUUCUUUUGCUGUAAAAAAAAAGAGUUAAUUAAUUGUUUGAAUUAUGGUUUAAUUCAUUAAUUGGUAUGAAAAAAUCUAAUCAAAUUAAAAAAAUUAGUAAAUUUAUUUGUAAAUGAUUACCAUAAAAUAUUUCAAUAUUUCAAUUUAUAUGGAAGGUUUUCAUUUAUCCUUAGAAAAUAGUUUCAAUUUUUUUAACAAAUAAGAAAUUUUUUUUAUCUUAACUGUUAUUGUUAAAUAAUAAUGAAAUAGAAGAUAGCAAAAAGAAAAGUUCGAUUCACCCAACUGAGAAGAGUGAUGGGUCGACAAAAAAAACAGAGAAGAGUGAGGCUAGACUUUUUAGUGACAGUUUGUAACGACAAAUUGGUGGUUGUUAAUUAACGUAUUGUUGAAUUUCAAUUUACUUGUGAAAUGCUAUUUAUUGGAGGACGGAACAUCAUAAUGAAGAUGCCGAUAGGCGAUAUAUGGUUAUGAUUACGACUUUAGAGGUGAGGAUGAAAAAGGGGCUGACGUGCUGCAGAUACUAUCUGAUGGUGGAAUAUACAACUUCAAUUUUGAAGACAAGCUCAAAAUCGACUGAGACCGUGAAUUUCUUUUUCUUUUUAUAAUGAAAUCGUCGUUAUUUGUGAACAAUAUUUUUAUAUAUAAUUCAAACUAUUUCAGAGUAUUAGCUUUUAUCUCUUAUAGAGAUAUUAGAACGUAUAUGCAUGGAAAUCUCUAAAAUUAGGCAAAUGCCAUGUUACUGCUCCAUUUUAUUUUAAUACCAUUACACCCCUACAUCUUAACACGUUUAUCCUAUCGUCUACACUGCCUAUGGUGUCAGAAGAUAUUACUAGACCAUCUUAUUUACACAAAAUGUCUUGAAAGGUUUCGAAACCUCUUUAAUUUAUUUUAAAUAUUAAAAAUUUAAUGACAGGAAGAGCAAAUGAAGUUUCAUUUUCCGGAAGCUUCGGCCAGUCCGUGGUGGUGUGAAUCCUCUGAGUUCUGUAAAAAGUUCGAGAUUUGCUUUCUCUUCGCCGGGAGGCCCCUCAGGAUGUCAUUGCAUGAUUUUUCCCAAGUUACAGGCCUUAAUUGCAGCAAGAUUCCGAAGAAAAACAUCAGAAGGAAGAAGAACCCCAUCAUAGAGAAGCAGUAUUGGGAGGAAUUAAUUGCAGGAAGAGUCCACCCGAUGAACUCUUCUUCAAAGGUUAAAUUCUCUCUCCAUAUGUUUUUACGAUGUGGCUCUUCCUCUUGUUCACCUGUAAGUACCAUGUAGACAUUGAUUUCAAGCUCUGUCAUCUUGAUUCCAAACGAUGUGUGGCAAAUCACCAUUCGAAGUUCAUUAAAGAUAACAUACAAGUUAGCAGUUUUGGACAUACUUAGUCGUUACAUUUUAUUUUCUGAUUAGAACCCACAAAAUAGAUAAUGUUAACUGAUGCAUAUUUAGUUAGCUUCUACAAAAUAAGUUAGCGUAACUGUUCGAAGCUACAAAUAUGUACCAUGUGCUUACACAUGUUUGGAUAGUUGCUAUAAAUAGGCAUCAUGUGUUGCCAUUAGCAUCUACAUGUUAAGUUAGAUGUUACAAAAUAUGUUGCGGCUAAUGAAUAACUGGUUGUUAAGAUUUUAUUAAAUAGGUGUUGUUAGUUGAUGUAUUGUUUGUUAGCUACUCUAAAAAUGUUUAAGUUAAAUAAUAUAUGUUUUGUUAGAUGUUACAUUUUAUGUGACUUUUAGUUCACACAUAUUUGGUCAGUGGCUUCAAAAUAUGGUGCAUGUAUGAAGAACUAUAGGAAAGGACAAAGACGUUAUAAGGAUACUUCAAAUUCUUGUCUCCUAGUUGUGAUGAUUAAGAUUUUAUUUUUCAUCUUACAUAUAAUUCUUAGCCACCAUUUUGUCAAUUCUAUGUGUUUAGAUGACCAGUAUGAUGUUCGUCAAAGAUGACAAAUAUGAGAAGAAGUUGGGAGUCACGCCAUCAUAGUGACAAAUAAGAACAUCAAACACAUCGUUUGGCUUUCGUUGGUCCCAAAGGUGGUGGUUAACUUGGAGGCAUCUUGAUAACAUUUAUGUUAGCUAACAUUUUCUUAGUUACUUGUUUUAUCUAUGUGUAAGAAGAUAUUAAUUCAUGCUCAUCUAAAAUAAAAGACUUGAUUUAUGUUAUAUUAUUAGCAUAUAAUAUUAAUACUUAACUAACAAUAUAUUUACUAACACACUUAGAGAUUACAUGCUUUGUAUACAAUCACUAACUCUCACACUUCUCUAGCCUCUCUAGUUUCACUCGGAUGUAUAGUAAUGCAUAACCACUAAUAUUUGAUUUAACAGUUAAGACGAUUGUUAGCCGUUAAUAUCAUAAGUGUAACAAAAUUGGGUUCAUCCUUUGUCAUAUGCCCUUCAGAAGAAAUUACUGACAUUUAACUUUAAUUAUAGACCAGUGACAAAUCGUCAUCAACACAUAUACGUAAAAACUGUAGCCACUAUUGAUCUAAUUAACAAUUACGAUCAUGCGAUAAGUAUGAACAAUGUCAACGAUAAAAUAUAAUGUAACAGAUAACAUGUUAAUUAUACAUACGGAAUAUUAUAACAGGUAACUUUGUUGUUUUCGAUCGUGUGAUGAAUACACUGGUUCACAAGAUGUACAUGAAUCUCUUAAGCUCCUUUGAAAUCACAAAAUAUAAAUGAUCGUCUUUUCCAAUUCGACAUGACUUCUACUGAAACUCUACGACGAGGAUAGACGGUGUAUGAUGACGAUGAUAUAUAAUUAACUUUCUAUGAAAAUAGUAAAAAAAAAAGAUUAUUUGUGGCUGAGAAUCACUUACUAUUAAGAACAGAUAAUGACAGCUACCUAGUAGAAAGCUAGCCGCCUAUUUAGCAAGUGGAGUAAAAGGCAAUAUAGAAAUCUAGGAUUGUACUUGUGCAGAUUACACCGAAUCAAAACAUGCUUGCCUUACGUGUCCGGACUAUAGGGGUAAAAGGGGGAUGGGGGACGCAAAUAUCUACAGUUCUGAAGGGUUUUUUUUGCUUUCGGGUACUUUCUUAAUUUCACACCGAUUUAGGUAUAUUAGUCCAAUUGUCUCUUUAUUAUAUAUAUGUGCUUUAAUGUAGGAAACUUGUAUGUAUUUCUACUUUUUAUAUCAAAAGAUUUUGUCUUGAGAAUCUUCCACACCAGCCUGAUAUUAUUUUUCCAUAACUUUUUCGUGUAGUACAAUAUUGAUGGAGCAUCUCGUCGACACAAAUGCGUGUUAGCUUUUUAUUUUGCUUAGAUGAACCAGAUAAAUAUAAAGAUAUUAAAUUUAUUAAGCUGUAGAAUAAAUAAGCACUAACACGACAACAGUAAGAAGUAACAACAAGAGACAACACACCAUGAGAUGAAAGAACAAGAAUUACAACGAUAAAAACACAAAUUAACUUUGAAAUAUCAUAAAAAUCAAUAAUAUAUUUGGAUCAUCAGUUCUUGCGAAGCACGAUGAGGUACUGCAUUUCUGGUUUGGAAUUUUGGAUGCGAGAAAACUCUUCACGUGCCUUGACCUCGACGAGUUCAAAGGCUUUCCUCAUUGCAUCUGCUCCAAAUUGUGCAGAUAUGAAAGCUCCAAAAGAGGCCUUGGUGGAAACGGCCAAGAUCUUGGGGUCAAGUGGAAACUCACCAUAUGGGUGAAUGAUAUCCUCAAAAGCCUCGAUUGUGAACUUCCCAUUCUCCUUUAUGAUUUGCCUUAACUCGCCUUCUUCUGCAAAGUAGAGUGGUGUGCUGAAAGAGUCAACGGGUAUGGUAGUUAUGUAAUUAUAGUAUUUUAGAUAAUUAACUAGUUUAAGAUGAAAUUAUAUAUAUGUAAUUGAGCAAGAUCGUUAAGAGAAGCUCCGAUGAAAUCCAUCACCAUUCCUUUAGCGGUCUCCGACAUCUUAACCCCGUCCCUUAGACCUGAUCCCAAGAGCAACAUCAAUCCCCCGGGGACGAGCUCCUCAGCUCUAGCGUCUAAUAGAUUCGUGGUGUCGGCCGAGUACUGAUCAAGAUAUGAUUUCUUGACUGCUUCGUCGAAACCAGUGCAAUGCAUGUCUCUGUUCCACAGAGGAGAGUCACGGUCGGUGAUCUCUUUGGGGAUUUUGGAAGUGAAAUGGAAAGCAUAAUUGAUAACUCCUAUGUGGAAACUCUGCUUAGGGAGAACCCGUCCGAAGAAGGAGCCCGGAACACCAGCAGUAUAGUACCUUCUCCCCGCAGGAAGUGCCUGGAAGAGAGUGUUGAAACCAUUGUUGGUAAAGUCAUUGAAGAGGACUUGGAACUCAAUGUCCUCCUCCGGGUUUUGUCCGGUUCCCUUGCGGUACUUGUCUUCUACUGCAUCUAUUAUGUUUUUCACUGCAGCAAAAGUGUUAGGUCCACUUGCGCAACCAAAAUCCGCGACACAAAAGCGAUCAGAAAUCAAGUCGAGGCCGAGUUUGGCAGAGAUAGCCUCGUUCAUUUUUUCUUUUGCGGCUUCCAACAAAGCUCUCUGUGAAAACAUAUUAAAGAAGAGACUGUACAUACAUACAUACACAUGAAAUUCCUGAUUUUUGGAAACCACACACAUAUAUAUAAAAAUAAAUAAACCUGAUACGAUGAAUGUUGAUUGUAACUCUCAGGACCUUCUCCUCCAAUCAUGACCCAUUGUGGAGUAGUUGACAUGAUCGAUAUGUCUUUUUUUCUCCCUUUUCUUACUUGGUUUGAUAGUUGCUAUUUGAUGAGAACUGUGAUGAACUAUGGACGUCUGCAUGCAUAUUAAUACCAUAAUAUAUUAUUUACUUCGAGGCUAUUGAAUUUUUUUUUUCAAGUGUUGAAAGUUUCACGUGAAACUGUUAAAAGAAAAUUAAUAUGAUAUUGAGGGUUUGUAGUUGAAUGUUUUAAAAUGGUAGAAAAAUAAAAGCAUGGUCCACAACAGUGAUAUGUGUUAUAUGCUGAUUGGUUAUUGAAUUUUUUGAUUUUUUAUUCAACCUAUAAUUAUUUCAUAACAAUUAUUUUAUAGUAAAUUAUUUUAUUUCUUUAUUUAUUUUAUAUAAAACUAUUAUUUUGGAUUCUAUAAAUAAAAUUAUUAAAUUGAAAGAAUAUUUAAAUAUCUUUUUAUUAUUAUUUUAGAAUAUUUUUAUAAAAACUAUUUAUUUAAUAAUUUUUAAUAAAAUAUUCAUUUCGCGCCGAGCAUGCUACCUAGUAGAAUGUUAAAAAUAGAAGUCAGGUGUUGAAAAGUAAAACAUUGUAUAUAGCCUAAUAUUAUUAUUUUGUAUUAUAAUAAUAUUAUUUUGUAUGUAUAAUGUUAUUAUUUUAUAAAGGGAAUAAAACGUUGAGGAAAAUACUCUAUUACAACUUUAAUAAUUUAUAUAGUGUGUCACAUGAUUUGAAAAAUUGAUUCAUGCUAAAUACGCCUCCAACCUGAUUUUUUUGUUUUGAAACACCGCCUCCAACCUGAUUAUAAUUCGAAUAUGUGUGUGUGUAAAAUAUAAUUCAUGUUGUGGAUCUGGCGGAGGUAGUGAGACGUUUAUACUAGCGGUACUUUUUAAUGGAGAUUACGUAGCAUAUAAAUGUAUGUGCUAACGACACAUUUAGUGGAGAUUAUGAGUGUAUAAAGACGUUUCUACCAGUUACCUAGGAUAAGAUUUAGAGAGUACAAAGAUGGAUUUAUGUACUAGCAACUUCUAGAGAUAUAAAUAUAUUAUUAUAAGAAAAUGCGGGAUGCAUAGAGUUGUUAAUAUACUAUUAGCAAAUUGAUUGUGUUUGAACGGUGCACUAGGCAUAUUACUUGUUAUAGGACAUGCAUUAAGUAUCGUGUUUGUUUUAUGCUAGACUUACACUUGCAUAGUUGAAAUAGUACAACUGAGUUAGUGGUUUGUGUUUGACAUUCAUUAUUUUGUUUAGUGACUUCGCUGUUACUGAAUUCUUCUUUCUAUUUUCUUUCGGGAUGAGAUUGACGAAUAUAUCAUUGUUCGAAUGAAUUGGUGGUAUCAGACAUUUUUUUCUUUUUUCAUACAUUUGUUUUGAUUUAUCAAACAUUUAUUUCAGUUUUUUUUAUAUUUAUUGGAAUUUUUUGUUAAGCAGACAAUUUUGAGUAAAAAUAAAGUGGUAAUUAAGAAAGUUAAUUAAUUGAAAAACUUUAUAAAAUGAAUAAAAAUACGGGUGUUACAUUGCUAUUUUCUCUGUGAAGCCUCAUUGCUUAUUUGCUUGUAUAAUUUCCCACCUGUUUCCUCCCGCAUGUGUACCUGAGUUAAUAUAGUUUUGAAAACAGAAGGUCGAUUUGAAAACUGGCGGGUGUGGUUUCUUCGCGGUUUAAGCUCGAUUUCGAACGGUUCGGCUCGGUUCGAUUGGGUUAUCAUUUUCUCAGAAACCAAGGGAAGAGAACCGUAAAAUCCCUAAACCAUCGCGUUUUUGCGCCACUUCAUCUUCCUUCAUGGCGUCCGACUCCGCCGGAGCAACAAUCGCCGGCGACUUCCCAAACGACGAUAACGCGGAAGCCCUAAACCUCAAUUCUACAGAACUCUACUCAUCAGCAGUUCCCUCCUCCGUUCCUACACCCUCCCUGAAACCACCGUUCUCUCCUCUCUCAAUCCCUCAAUCAAACCGAAUCCCCAAAACAAACUUUACCGUCGACUUCUUCCGCUCCUCCUCCUCCUCCGUCGCUUUCUUCCUCUCACACUUCCACUCCGACCACUACUCCGGCCUCUCCUCUUCCUGGUCCCGAGGAAUCAUCUUCUGCUCUCACAUAACCGCACGCCUCCUCAAACAAAUCCUCCAAGUCCCGUCGCAGCUCGUCUUCCCUCUACCUACGAAUCAAAAAGUUAUCAUCGAUGGCUCCGAAGUCGUUCUCAUCGACGCGAAUCACUGCCCAGGAGCUGUACAGUUCCUCUUCAAAACCAACGAUGGCUCCGAAAGGUACAUUCACACCGGAGACUUCAGAUUCUGCGAUUCGAUGAGAUCAGAUCCCUUCCUUAGUAGCUUCGUUGGCUGCGACGUCGUUUUUCUCGACACUACUUAUUGCAAUCCGAAGUUCGUUUUCCCCACGCAGCAAGAGUCUGUUGAUUAUGUGAUUAGCGUGAUAGAUAAGAUCGAUGAAGAGUCUAAGCAAAUGAAAAAAAAGGUUUUGUUUCUUGUUGCUACUUACGUUGUUGGUAAAGAGAAGAUUUUAAUUGAGAUUAGUAAGAGAUGCAAUAGGAAGAUCUUUGUGGAGGAGAGGAAGAUGUCGAUUUUGAAUGUAUUGGGGUGUGGAGAGGGUGGAAUGUUCACAGAGGAUAAGGAAGAGAGCGAUGUUCAUGUUGUGGGAUGGAAUGUGUUGGGAGAGACUUGGCCGUAUUUUCGUCCGAAUUUCGUGAAGAUGAAUGAGGUUAUGGUUGAGAGAGGGUAUGAUAAGGUUGUAGGUUUUGUGCCCACGGGGUGGACUUAUGAGGUGAAGAGGAAUAAGUUUGCGGUGAAGGUUAAGGAUUCUAUGGAGAUUCAUCUUGUGCCGUAUAGCGAGCAUUCGAAUUACGAUGAGCUUAGGGAGUACAUAAAGUUGUUGAGGCCUAAACGAGUUAUUCCUACAGUUGGUGUUGAUGUGGAGAAGAUGGAUAGCAGGGAGGUUUAUAAAAUGCAGAAGCAUUUUUCUGGACUGGUUGAUGAGAUGGCGAACAAGAAAGAGUUUUUAUUGGGGUUCUAUCGUCAGUCUGACAAGAAGAGUGAGAAAGAUGGCGUAGAUGUUAGGGAAAAUGAUGCUCCAGGAAGUGAUUCUUUGGUGACUGAAAGAUUGCUGAUAGAACUACGUGAUUCUUUGCCUGCUUGGGUAAGUGAAGAGCAGAUGUUAGAUCUGAUUAAGAAACAUGCUGGUAACCCUGUAGAUAUAGUAAGUAACUUCUAUGAAUGCGAAGCAGAGUUUUACAAGCAAUCCUGUAUUGCCACGUCUUCCUUGGAGAAUCAGGCUGUUUUGAUUGAUGACGAUGGAAUCGACUUGCAGCCAAUUCCUGCUAAGGGCAUUUCGUCAGAUUGUCAAGAAAGUCUAAAAGGUUUUGCCUUACCAAGCAAACUUGGUUUAACAAAGGGUAUUGUUUCUCCGGGGAAAAGAAGCAAAAGCAUUGGCAAUAAGUCAAACAAGAAGGCCAAAAAAGAUCCAAAGUCGAAACCAGUUGGUCCAGGGCAGUCAACCAUAACUAAGUUUUUCGAUAAGGUGUUGGAUAGUGGAUCUAGUUCUGUUGGUGUUGGUUCAGAGACUGAAGAAUGCAAUACAGAUGAAAAGAUGGUCCACAAUGAUGCUAAAGAAACAUACAAAGAAGUAACAGAUCAAUUUAUUGACAUUGUUCACGGUUCUGAGUCUUUAAGAGAGUAUGCUGCUUCCAUCAUUGAUGAGGCUAAAGGAGAUAUAAAUAGGGCACUGGACAUCUAUUACAGUAAACCCAGUGAUGUACCUGGUGAGCAUGCAGGUGAGGGAGGAGGACUCUCUAGCGAAUCAAAUCAGUUAACGCAAUGUCCAGAAGCGUGCUCCUCCCAGGAGAACAUUAAGACGUCAGAAAAAUCAGGGCAUACAUUGAACUUAAGUGAGCAGACAUCAGCAAAAGAAAUGGUGGACAAUGAUUAUGUAUCUCUACCUCCUGAAAAAUAUAAGCCUAAAGAGCAUGGUUGGUGUGUUUAUAUCAUACAUGUUAUUCUUUCCAUCUAUCUUGAGAGCGUGUGUUUGCAACCAAAUUUCUGCAGUUUAGUAGGAUUUUUAGUCAACCUGCUGCAAUUUUUCUAUGCAUCCACACUCAUAUGUUCUUUGUUUUAGUGCAGCUUGUUGGAGGGAUGGACAGCCUACUCCGUAUAUCCACCUUGUCCGGACAUUUGCUUCGGUCGAAGGUGAAAAGGGCAAGAUCAAAGCUAUGUCUAUGCUUUGCAACAUGUUUAGAAGGUGCCUGCUCUUUUUUUUUCGUUUACUCUGUUCAUUAAGCUGAAGCAAUGAUGAUUGCCACUUAUAUUUCUGUAAAACUUCCUCCUAUCAGCGUGUUGGCUCUCUCUCCAGAAGAUGUGCUGCCCUCUGUUUAUCUUUGCACAAAUAAGAUUGCCGCUGACCAUGAGAAUAUUGUUGGUCUAAGUCUCUUAUAUUUUAUACCUUCUCUUGCUAUUUACAUAACCUUAACAAGACUCUUAUGGUCAUGUAUCAAUCGGCAGGAGCUCAACAUUGGUGGAAGUCUGAUCUCUGCUGCAUUGGAAGAAGCAUGUGGAAUAAGUCGGUCUACUAUGAGGGAGAUGUAUAAUAGAUUGGGAGAUCUUGGUAAAGACAAACCUAACGCUCUCACAGAUAACUUAUGGUUAUGUUGUUCCUCUGUACACCCUGCCAAAACGGGUUUUAAUCAAAAUUUCCAGGGGACGUUGCUCAGCUGUGCCGACAAACGCAAAAGCUACUAGUUCCUCCACCUCCACUUCUAGUUAGAGAUGUGUUUUCAACUCUACGAAAGAUAAGGUAUAGAAUUCAACUGGUUAUGUGUUCACCAUAUUAGCUAUUGACCGAGGAUAUACUGUAUAUUUGUGAAGACGACAAUUGAGAAUGUUAAAUGUCCUUGUUCAUUUCUAAUAAACAACUUUAACGUAUAUAUGAAUUCAAAAAUUAUAUACCGAUAAUAACAUUUCCACUCUUAAUAAGUUCUAUUUGAAACACAACAAUGUCAUUCCAGCAAGCUCCUAAUAGUUUUCCUCAGUGUGCAGUCAGGUACUGGAAGUACUAGGCAAAAGAAAAACCUCAUCGUGAAGCUAAUGCGCUCUUGUAGAGAGAAAGAGAUCAAAUUUCUAGUUAGAACAUUGGUAAGAAUAUGUUUUCCCUUAUAUUAUUCUCAGCUUCCAUGUUUUAAGCAACUAUAUUCCUGGUCAGGCCCGUAAUUUAAGGAUUGGCGCUAUGUUGAGAAUUGUUCUACCUGCACUAGGGCGAGCAAUUGUUAUGAAUUCUUUCUGGAAUUGCCAUAACAAAGAACCAUCAGAAAAUUGGUUCAAAGAGAAACUUGAGGUAUCAUUUAAUUUUCUUCUUAGUUCAAAAGUGUUUUCUUGGCACUUAUCUAAGCAAGUAUGCUCAAAAGAUUAUAUCUAAAGAUUUAAAUGCUCAUCUUGUUAAGAGGCAAAUUCAAAAUUUCAGGGUGUUUCUGCUGCAGUAGUUGAGGCCUACAAUAUACUUCCUUCUCUGGUGAGCUCUAAGUGUUAACCUUUGUCUCUGACUCGCUUUGCCAAUUUGCACGCGAAAUAACUUAUUUGUAUUGCACUAAAAUGCGAUUACCAAUUUAGGAUGUAAUUAAACAAGAAUUAGGGGAAAAGCCAAGAAUCUAUAAUUUUUUGUUCCACCUGUUUGCAGCCUUCAAAAGAUUUGUGAUUUGUCCUACUCAGUAUACUUACCAGAUUUUUCAAAUGGAGACAUCAGUUUCAAUAUAAUAGUUGCUUUUAACAGGACGUGGUUGUUCCUUCUCUCAUGGAAAAAGACAUUGAGUUUUCAACAUCAACUCUGACAAUGAUCCCAGGGAUACCAAUAAAACCCAUGCUUGCAAAGUAAUUAUACAAAUCUUUGUGAUACAUUUGUUUUCAAGAUAACGACCAAAGCUGUUGAUGUCAUGCCUUUAAUAAUUGUGGUGCUUUUUUCAUUGCAGAAUUGCUAACGGGGUUCAAGAUUUUAUCAAGCUCUUCCAAGACAAGGCUUUUACAUGUGAAUACAAGUUAGUUUGUCUCAAGAACGUUUCUUAAACUACUCGAAACUGAUAACUGAUGAGUUUCUGAUUAUUAAUGGAAUGUCUGUUUCUUUGAAUUCAACCCAUGAAUUUUUGGUUUUCACUAUGUUGAUUUACGUCACUCUUCUAUGUUCCCUGAAAUAGGUCUACAAUUUAACUUUCAGGUAUGAUGGCCAGCGCGCCCAGAUCCAUUUGUUACUUGAUGGUACAGUGCGGAUUUUCUCUCGAAAUGGGGAUGAAACUACUUCCAAAUUUCCUGAUCUGGUUGAUGUUAUAAAACAGUUUGCUUGCCCUGCUGCUGAGACGUUCAUGUUGGACGCAGAGGUAGGAGAAAUAAGGACGCAGACAUUCAUGAUGGCCGGCUUGCAAAAAAAAAGAAAAAACAGUAAAUGUUUUAUCAUAAGUUCUCUUGGUAUUACAUAGUGUAAUGGCUUUUUUUUUAUGAAAUUCAGGUUGUUGCAACUGAUAGAAAGAAUGGUAACCAACUCAUGUCAUUCCAAGAGUUAUCAACAAGAGAGAGAGGGAGCAAAGAUGCUUUGGUAAUUACAAAAAGUAUUAAGGUAUUGAAUACAAUAUCCGUACGACCUUAUUUCUACAGUUACAUGGUAAUCAGCAUUUCUAUUGAGAAAUUCAGCUCUGUAAAUUUUAUAUAUAAAACAUGUUCUGUAACCUUUGUUCCUUGUUGAUAUCAUGUUUUUAUAAAUAAAAAAAAUUUGCUUGGACAUAGGGACGUUUCACUUAAUCUACUUUCGUUAUUGAAUGUUUGCAUGGAAGCCCAGCAUCUACAUACAUGCUAAUCUAGUUUUUAAUUAAAGCUGAAUGAAAAAUUGGUUGCUGUUUUUUUCUUCAGUAUGAUUGACGCUUUCCUCUUGAUUUUUUUUUCUUUUUCUUUCUUGUGUACUCUUUGAAGAUAAACAAGCUUGACCUUUUUUUCUUUCUUUUUAGUUUCUCAUGAUUUUCUUCUUACGCUUAUUCUAAUGCCUUUCUGCAGGUUGAAGUCUGCAUCUUUGUGUUUGAUAUUAUGUUCUUCAACGGUGAACAGUAUGUGUCUUUUAUACUCAAUGCUUUUUUUGUCCCUCUGCAUUUCUCCUAGUGGAUUAUAUGUUGAUUCGUAAUUUCCGGAGUUAACAAUGCAGGCUGUUGACUCUUCCCCUCCGUGAGAGACGAAAAUGUAAACCUUACCUCUUUCUCUUUUUCUCCCUUAACUCAGAUGCGUCAUUUUCUUCAUCAGGUUCAUAUAUUCCCAAACUUUUAGGUCUAAAGGAGGUCUUCCCUGAGACUAGGCCAGGUUUUCUCGAAUAUGCUAAGGAAAUCACUGUAAGUGCUACAGUAGCUUAUGGCUUAUAAGUCAUAAAACAUAGUAAAUCAGUGCUUUGAUAUAUUCGUUGAAACUGUUCAUUGUUUAUUAGGUGGGAACAGAAGAAGCUUCUAUGAAUAACCAAGACACUUUGUGUAGAAUAAAUGCGUUUCUAGGAGAAGCAUUUCAGUCAUCUUGUGAGGGAAUCAUGGUUAAGUCUUUAGAUGUUGAUGCCGGAUACUGCCCCACAAAGCGUUCUGAUUCAUGGCUUAAGGUCUCGUGCUGUAAACUAUCUUAUCAAAGAUAAAUGUGCCGGAAAUGGAUUAAAUGGUGCUAAAAUUUUCUGGUCCAGGUGAAGCGAGAUUAUGUUGAUGGAUUAGGUGACACAUUGGAUUUAGUUCCUAUAGGUGCUUGGCAUGGCAACGGGAGAAAAGCCGGAUGGUAAUAAAACAUGUGUUCUUUUUUUUUUUUUUUUUGGAACUAUAAAACAUGUGUUCUUAACUUUCUCUUUUUUCUUGAAAAUGAAAAAUGUGUGAAUCAGCCUUGUAUCUUUGAAGCUGAAUUGUAAACUUAAUGUUAUUUUGUAUGUGUAGGUAUAGUCCAUUCCUCAUGGCCUGCUACAACCCUGAGACUGAGGAAUUCCAGAGUGUCUGCCGUGUCAUGUCUGGGUUUUCUGAUGCCUUUUACGUCGAGGUAAUUAAAAGCUCAGCAACUCUUUCACUCUUCUCCACCAUUCCAUCUUCAAUAUCAAUUUAACAUUGUGGCUAAGUGUACACAUUCCAGUUAAUGGUUCAGUUUUAUUAGAUUUGUAAAAGCUGAAACCAAUACCAACCAUUUGUAAUUCGGUCUUGCAAAGUAUCUAUGAUCAUAUCUAUAUAUUAUUUGCUUUUCUUGCAGAUGAAAGAAUUCUACUCCGAGGAUAAGAUCCUCGCGAAAAAGCCGCCAUACUACAGAACAGGGGAGACACCAGACAUGUGGUUUCCCGCAGAGGUUGUCUGGGAAAUCAAAGGUGCGGAUCUAACCGUCUCACCUGUACACAGUGCGGCUUUAGGUCUGGUCCAUCCAUCACGAGGCAUCUCCGUUAGGUUUCCAAGAUUCAUCUGUAAAAGGGCGGAUAGGGAUCCGGAGGAAUGCAGCACGGCGGCAGAUAUAGCAGAGAUGUUUCAUGCUCAAACCAGAAAAAUGAACAUCAAGUCUCAACACUAACAUUGUAUCUUAUCUGAUCAGCUACUUACCUUUUGGUUCUGUUAGGAGUUUACACAAAAUGUUUUUGUGUUGCUUUUAAUAGCUUGGUAAACUUAGAAUGUGUAAAAAAUAUCUACCUAAAACUAUGUAAAUAUUCUGUAUAUAUAAUCUAUCUGCAUGUUAAUUUUUGUGUUUCCUGUUUGAUAUCACUGGGUCUGAUUGCUAAAACUUCACAGGUCAUAGCAGUGCAAUUUUGUAGGUGUUAAAUAGCCCUCACAAUUGUUAGGAAGAUUGAAUUUGUUUGUCAUUAGACCAUAGGUUUUGCAAGAUUAAUGAAAAUAUGGCGGUAAUGACUGUUGAAAGUCUCAGUUUCGUUUUUCAUUUUCCCUCCUCGAUAAAGAACACCUCCCGCCAAAUCAGAAAACCGGUGAUAGCCGGUUACUUUUCCUAACGGCGACCGGUCAUAAGAACAACACUCGUGAACAUCGAAUCCAUUUCCUUCCUUGCAUCAACUCGAGGUUUGCUCGUUGAUUGUUUCCUUCGAAAACCCUAACUUUCUUACCUUGAUUGAUUCUAAGCGUUUCCGCCUGAUUCGCGAAAGAGUACCAACUUAAACUUUCUCGGGACUUUGAAUGAAGUUUUAUUAGAAGCUAGGGUUCUUUUGAGUUGUUUUGUUUUCUCGAUUUUGAGGAAAAAUGAGUGCGAUCAAUAUCACCAACGUCAGCGUAUUGGAUAACCCAGCGCCAUUUGUGAGCCCUUUUCAGUUCGAGAUUUCCUACGAGUGCUUGACUUCUCUCCAAGACGGUAACCUCCACUUGUUGUCUUAUUAGUUUGAAUUGGAUCUAUCCUGAAGUUCUUGAAUAACAUAGUUAUGUUGGUGAGACUAAUCUACCAGAUGUUGAAAGUUAGACUCUUUCGAGAGUUUCUUCCCCAAUAGUUGUUCUCAGGAUAGAUGUUUUACCUAGACUAGUGGUUUCAUCUGGCUUUAGAUUUUUGGAAGUGUUUGUUUGUAAAUGUGUUUGAACUUUGGCUUUGUACACUAUGAUAAAAAAAAAGAUAAUACAUUUUUCAGCAUUUAUGGAUAUUGGAUUUUCCUGGAAUAUAGUAUAACCUGAUAAGAUAGAUACCUUGCUAGUUUUAAUCUUCUUCUUUUCAGCAAGUGCAAUAUAAAGAAAAACGAUUUUGUUCACUUAGUCCCAUGCUUUUGUGUUGGUACAGAUUUGGAAUGGAAACUUGUCUACGUAGGCUCAGCAGAAGAUGAGACUUAUGAUCAAACUCUAGAGAGUGUGCUUGUAGGGCCUGUUAACGUUGGCAACUACCGAUUUGUCUUGCAGGUAAACUAACCACAUAUUCUUUUUUUCUUUUUUUUCUUACACUCCCUCACUUCAAUAGCAACAGAGUUUUGAUCCAACACUCCAUUUUACUUUACAGGCUGAUCCUCCAGAUCCAUCAAAGAUCCGGGAGGAAGACAUCAUCGGUGUCACUGUGCUGCUGUUGACAUGUUCGUACAUGGGUCAAGAAUUCUUGAGAGUUGGAUAUUACGUGAACAAUGACUAUGAAGAUGAGCAACUCAGGGAAGAGCCUCCAACCAAGGUUUUGCUCGAUAAAGUCCAGAGGAAUAUACUCUCUGACAAACCUAGAGUCACUAAAUUCCCUAUCAAUUUUCAUCCAGAAGACGAGCAGACUCCUGCUGCUGCAGAUCCUCCUCCUCCUACUGAACAAUCUGAUGAUCAACAACAAGCUGAUGACAAUUGUGAUGAAGCUCAAGUUUUGCCUGAACAGCCACCAAUACCCCAUGAAUCAUGAUUCUUCCUUAAGCCGAGGUCUAGUUGGAUGAGAACUAUCAUCUGCAAGAUCUUUUCAUUUUGUUAAAUUUUAUCACAAAACAUUAUCUGAAGGUGUUGUCUUGUUUGUAGAUGGCUUUAGGGAAGUGGUUCCUGACAUGUUUGAAUGUUUUGGGCAAAUAUUUAAUCAAAGCAAAACAAUAAGUUCCUCCCAAAUCAAGAAAAAGUUUGAACAUUCACAAUUUGUUUGUUAUAUUAUGUACGAUGGUAACAUGAGCCAUUCUGAGUCCGUUCCAUAACGGAGUUAACAGUGGCUGUCCCUCGGCAUUUAGUUUUUCAUUAUAUGAAUUAACCAACUGUAAUACGGGUUGUUUCUGAUAGUAUCAGAAUUAUGAGAUACAUUUCAUAAAAUACUAAAACUAUAAGGCUAAAACUGUAAAUAAAACCAACGAAUCAAAGUGCUUACUUAACUAGCCCUUCCUUCCCUCAUAGCGUUAACAGUAAACCGGAGGAAAAAAAAAGACAAGCCGAUGUCGAAAUCCGGCGGAAACCAACCCGUAGAUCGAUACCUAAGACGUCAAGUGCUCGGAGAAGGAACAUACGGUGUCGUUUACAAAGCCACCGACACCAAGGUCAUUCAAUCAACUCAAUCCAAUCCCUUCCCCAAUUCGAUUUCAAUUCGAAUUCCUUAUGUUGUUCGAUUUUUCUGCAUAUAGACAGGUAAGACUGUCGCGGUGAAGAAGAUUAGGUUAGGAAACCAGAAAGAAGGAGUCAAUUUCACAGCCCUUAGGGAGAUCAAGCUCCUAAAAGAGCUGAACCAUCCGCACAUCGUCGAGCUCAUCGACGCGUUUCCUCACGAUGGAAGCUUGCAUCUCGUCUUCGAGUAUAUGCAGACGGAUUUGGAGGCUGUGAUUCGUGACCGUAACAUUUUUCUUUCUCCUGGUGAUAUCAAGUCUUAUAUGUUGAUGACUCUUAAGGGUUUAGCUUAUUGUCACAAGAAAUGGGUUCUGCACAGGUAAAAUCUAAAACUAUUCCUUCUUUCUUUUUGAGCUUUUAGGUUGGAUCUUGAUUUGUUUUGACAUUUGUUUAGGGAUAUGAAGCCUAAUAAUCUACUGAUUGGAGAGAAUGGUCUGUUGAAAUUAGCUGAUUUUGGCUUGGCGAGAGUGUUUGGGAGUCCGAAUCGGAGGUUUACUCAUCAGGUAUUUGCUUACUCGUCGAUUGAUACUUAGCUCGAUGUUUUUUUUGUGUUUUGAAAUGGCUGCUUAGGAAUUGAAUAAUAGAUCUCUUUGGCACCUCUUGAUGAUCAUCAACCUGAUACAUAGUGUUGAGCAGACAUGAUGAGUAUUUGAUUCCCGUUAUUGCAAAGCACAUUGAGUCCCAGAUACUGUUUUGUUAUUUACGGACGUAUUGACAUUUUAUACUCUUGAAGAUUUUGUAGACUUGGAUCUUAUUGGUUUGAGGUGGCAGCUAGACUAUUAAUCUAGAAUUUGUAAUUAGUAUGUUGUCAUCUCGUGUUGAUUUGUUGAAAGUGUUGUUGGGAACUACGGAUACUUGAUAUAGAGCAUUGAGAAAGACAUCGUAUGUUUUUAAUUCUGGUUCGUGCGUACUUAUUUUUUUCGGUUUUGGUGAGGUGAAAGAUUGGUGGUUACCUGACACUAGAUACCCAGAUGAUGCUGAGAUUGAGUGGUUGUGUAAAUAUAUUAUUUGGUUUUGUAUCUGCUUGUUCACAAUAGAAGACUCGUAAAUAAAAGAAUGUACGUAUUGAAACAGGUGUUUGCAACUUGGUACAGAGCCCCUGAGUUGCUGUUUGGGAGUAGACAGUACGGAGCAGGAGUUGAUGUCUGGGCUGCAGGCUGUAUCUUCGCUGAGCUAUUACUUCGUAGACCCUUCCUACCUGUAAUCUUCUAUAUUUUGUCUCAAAUGAUCUUUACUCGUCAAUACUUCAGGAUUUUAUUUUUUUAUUUAUAUAUAACUUCAUUGCUUUGCUUUCUUCAGGGUUCUUCUGAGAUCGAUCAACUGGGAAAGAUCUUUCAAGCUUUUGGAACUCCAACACAAUCCCAAUGGUCCGACAUGAUCUACCUCCCGGAGUACAUGGAGUUCUCCUACACACCAGCUCCACCACUACGUACCAUUUUCCCUAUGGCGAGCGAUGACGCUUUGGAUCUUCUAUCCAAAAUGUUCAUCUACGACCCACGCCAACGGAUCACCAUACAGCAAGCUUUGGACCACAGGUUAUAUACAUUGUCUUGAAAAUAAAACUCACAUGACAAUAAUUUCCAUUUCAUCUCUGAUAUCUUCAUUUUUUUAUUUGGUCAGGUAUUUCUCGUCUUCUCCAUCACCAACUGAGCCAGGGAAGCUUCAGAUUCCAGCUUCGAAAGGAGACGCCCUCGAACCAAAGGCAUCUGAGCAAAACAACCAACACGGAAACAGCCCGGCCGUGCUAUCACCUCCUGGAAAAAUGAGGAGAGUGAUGGGUCCUGAGGGAUAAUACCUGAGGGUCUUCGUUUGUGGUAGUAUAUACAAUCAAUAGCUUUGAUUGGACUUUUUGCAGUAACUCUAGCAUUGGAGUUUUGUAAUGCCUUUUUCUGCAAAUUAGUUACCAGUCAAAACUUAUCAGAAAGAACAAAAGGCAAAAUGAAAGAGAAACAAUCACUCAUUUGGAAAUUUAGAUGAAAAGCAAGUCCAAUCACAAAGAAACAAUCCUAUAGUGGCCUUUGUUUCUGAUUAGGUUUUCCAAGUAGUCAAGGGUAAGAGUUGGGGAAAUUUGUAACAUCUCCAACUAAGACCUCACUUCCUUUUGUUUUUGAAACAAAAGGGAAAAGCCCAUUAAAAGUAAAACCCAUUAAGUUAAAUUUAGGAUUCUUCUCUUUUCUAUGCAAAAAAAUAUACUAAAAUUUUACAAAAAUUCAAAACCCAAAAACCCUAGCCGUCAGACAUCUUUCUUCUUUUCUUUAUCUUUCUUUGUGCCAAGCCGUCACCUUGUUAGGUCGUUGCUCGUCGCUUUCCAGACCACUGCGGAUUGUCGCGAUUGUUCUCUUCUCCACUGUCUUCCGUUGUUGUUCAUCAGAUCUGAAAAAUAAGCAUUUAUUUUUCUUCUCUCUAUUCUUCUUCUCUCUAUUCUUCUUUUCUUAUUUUCUGUUGAGAAUGAGAGUACAUAUCUGAUUCGUGACAUCGAAUAAAGCCAAGGUGAGAACACGACUGUUAACUCUUUUCAUGUCUCGUAAUACUUUGGGGCGUUAUCCCUUAUAAAUACUCCCUCUGUUCCUAAAAGAUCUAUGUUUUGGAAAAAUAUUUUGUUUUAAAAAGAUGUAUAUUUUAUGUUUUCUAUGAGAAAAUUGCAAACUUUAAGAAAAUUAAUUGAUUUUAUUAGAUUACUAUUAGCUAAAAGUUGUUGAAAGUUGAAAAUUACAGAAAACGAUAAAUUUACUAUAGUGAUUUAAUGCAUUUUCUUAAUAUGUAUGAAAACACUAAAAAGUCUAUCUUUUAGAAAUGGAGGGAGUAUUGUCUAGGUUUGAUUGUUGAUCUUAUUGAUGUGAUGAAUUGUUAGAUCAAGUUGUUGACUUGUGUUGAAAUUAUGGAAAACAACUAGUUGUGUAAGGUUGUUAAAUGGUAAACCAGUUGUGUGUUGAGAAAGAAUGAGAUGAUAGAUGUGUGAUAAGAAUUACAAUAAUAUUAUUUGAGAAGUCAAUUUUUUAGAUAUCACAUUCACAUUAAUUCUUACGAUGGUUAAUUACAUAGAUACACUUAACAAGUUAAAAUAUUAUAUCUAAUUACCAUUAUUAAAAACUAUGUAAUAACUUAUGCCAAUUAAAUUUUUAUUUUUAUAUUUUUCCAAAUAAAAUAAAAUUAAAUAGUUUUAUUUAAUAAAAAGGAAAUAGUCAUAUAAUAAAAAAAUAUAUUUACAAAAAUGAAAGAAAAUAUAUUUUAUAUAAUGUGAUUUCGUAAAAAGAAAAGUUCACAUAAAAUAGUUUUGAUGUUAAAAAUAUAAUCAUCACUUUAAAACACAAUAUUAAAAAAAAUUGAAAUUAAUAAAAUAUUUUAUUUAUAUCAAUCUAUUUUCUCAGAUUUGAAAAAGUCAAUUAAAAUAAAAUAUCAUUGCUUAACUAUAAAUAUUUUAUAAUUGCUACUAUUGAAAUGUUUAUUCAUUUUUCAUAAUUUUUUUUAUUUUUUUUUUAUUUACAUUUUCAAUAUAAAUUUUAUCAAACUACAUAACUAAAUAUAUACAAACUUUAUCCAAUCCUAAUCUACCACUAAAACUGUUUGAAGGCUUCGUAUUUUUAUUUUGGUUUUUAAAAUUUUAUAUAUUUAUACAACAUAAUUUACCUAUAAUAAAAUACAUAAACCAAUAUGAAUUUUAUGGUUAAGAUUAUUUAAAAUAUUUUUUAAAUUUAUAUAUUAUUAUUCUAAAGUAUAAAAUUAUUUAGAAUUUACAACAAAAAAAACAUUUUAUAAAUAUUAAUAUAUGUUCAUAAGUUUUCAAAAUAAUAUCAGUAAUGUUUGUUAUAAAACAUCAUACUUAUCCUCAUUUCAGUUUUUCUUCUAUUUUUACAAAUCCACAAAUAUCAAUUAUAUAAAAUAAUUUACGAAAUUAUAUAUAUAUAUAUAUACAUACAUAUUUACGAUAAAAACUGAACUAGUGAAAUAAAUAAAAUUAAUCAAAUUUAGUUUAUAACUAGAAUCAAAAGUAAUGGUGCUUUCAUUUGAAGAAAUGUGUUUAACACAAUAUAACCUACAAAAUGAGUAAUUUAAACAAUCUAAAUUUUUAUGCACAAAUCAAAAGUCUAAAUGCAAAAAAAAAAAAAAAUUAAUUAAUCAAAAUUUAAAGCUAUUUCAGUACAAAAAUAAUAUUAUGGUUAAAGUUAGAGAAGUAAAUACGAUACAAUAUACCCAAAAAAUAAUCAAAUCGAUUAGAUAUUAUAUAUUUAAUUACAUAUCUAGAUAAAAUAAUAUAAUAUUAUUUAAAAUAAAUCAUACAUAUAAAUUACAAAAUAAUAAAAAUUAAAAAUUAGAUUAUGAAUUAUUUUAUAAUUUAUUUAUGAUGUAAGUAAGUGCAUGAUUUAUGUUUAAAUUGCGGGUUCAAAAGUAUUAAACCAAAUCUAGUUUUUUCUUCAUCUGAAUUCCUAAUUUUGACUUAAUCAAUAUCAUUAAAACAAUGUUUGAAUGCUGUGCCCAUGCAAACGACAGUCUGCAAUGAGCUAUAUGGUUUAUGAAUAGAACGCAUCAAUUCGCCACUUAAGCGGUGAUGCAGAAGAAGUACAUAAAUAGCUAUAUUUUUUUUGUUUAAUUUCUUUUGCAUGUUCCGUGACCAGUUCUGUAUUUCUCUACUGAUUAUUCGAUCCAUCAGUUUGUAUCUGACUUUCUCUGUAAAUAUUAUCAACAAAAAAAAAAGGUUUGCUCAGACGAUGGAAAGCGGUUUCUCGUUGGCGGAGAGAGAAGAAGUAGAAGAUAACAAAAAUGAGAAAUCUGCAGGGACAAUGAUGAAGAAAGUGAGUUACAUGGCUGCUCCAAUGGUGGCAGUUUAUCUUUCUCAGUAUCUCCUUCAAGUUAUCUCCAUGAUUAUGGCCGGUCACUUGGACGAGCUCUCUCUCUCCAGCGUCGCUAUUGCCACUUCUCUUACCAACGUCACUGGCUUCAGCCUCCUCGUAAGAUAUUCCUCUCUGUGUUCCUGCAUCUCUCUCACUCUUUCUCUCUCUCUAACUUGACUUCAGGGCUGGAUCUGGACAUAGUCCAGGGAAGCAUUGGCUUUGGUCCCUAAAAUUUUUUGUAUAGACAUAAGUUUUAAAGAAAUAUUUAUAGCCUUCAAAAAUCACAUAUCUGGCCUUGCUUGACUUCGAUCAUUAGGUAGGAUUUUCAGGUGCUUUAGAGACAUUGUGUGGUCAAGCUUUUGGAGCAGAGCAGUUUAGAAAGAUUGGUUCAUACACUUACAGCUCAAUGAUAUGUCUUGUCUUGAUUUGUUUCCCAAUCUCUCUUCUUUGGGUUUACAUGGACAAACUCUUGGAGCUUUUCCACCAAGAUCCUCUCAUCUCUGAGUUAGCUUGUAGAUACUCCAUCUGGCUCAUACCGGCUUUAUUCGGAUGCGCUCUUCUUCAGCCUAUGACUCGCUAUUUCCAGUCACAAGGAUUGGUUCUUCCUCUCUUCUUGAGCUCUUUCGGAACUCUCUGUUUUCACAUUCCCCUUUGUUGGCUUCUUGUCUAUAAACUGAGAUUUGGAAUCGUCGGCGCCGCUUUGUCCAUCGGUUUUUCGCUUUGGUUAAACGUAGCUUUGCUCUGGGUUUUUAUGAGAGACUCUGCUCUGUAUCGCGAAACUAGUAAUCUUCAGGUGGAAGAAAUCUUCUCGAGCAUGAAGCAGUUCAUCUCUCUUGCGAUUCCCACUGCAAUGAUGACUUGGUAACUAUGUUUUCUCUGUUUCUUGAUUCUGAUUUUCAACUGAUGCUUAAUUCUUGUAUCUCUUUUGGGGUGUAAUUAAAGCCUAGAAUGGUGGUCAUUUGAGCUUCUGUUACUAUUGUCUGGACUCUUACCCAACUCAAAACUUGAAACAUCGGUGAUGUCCAUAUGGUAUGUGCAUAUAUCCCUUUGUAUAAUAUUAUACAGAUGACCACAGGUCAUUAACUCAACUAGAAAGGAACAAUGACUAUUGUAUCAGAGAUCCAAAGUUCCAGUGAAACUAAUAUUACAUGAUGUGGUUUCCACCUGAAGAAUUACGGUUUCGACCUAAAAUAUUUAUAUAUAUACAAAUGACCAUUGUUUAAAUAUUUAACUAAUAUGUGCAACUUUAGUACUUUACUCACUUUAUGUCUUCCUUGAACAGCCUCACAACUUCACUUCUGCAUUAUGUUUUCGUGGAUGCAAUAGGUGCAGCCGCAAGGUAUAGUAACAUUACCAAUUGUUCAUAAGAAUAUAAUUCUUUAUGAAAAUUCUUCUUAACCAUUGUCUUGUUUAUAUAGCACACAUGUCUCAAACGAGCUAGGAGCUGGAAACCCUAAGGCAGCUCGAGCAGCGGCUAAUGCUGCACUUUACCUUGGCGCUUUUGAUGCUUCCUUUGUAUGCAUCACUCUUUACAGUUAUCGAAAACAAUGGGCCUAUAUCUUUAGCAAUGAGGAAGAGGUCGCUAACUAUGCAACAGAAAUAACACCGAUUCUCUGCCUAUCAAUUUUUGUCUGCAGCUUUACCUCCGUGCUCUCAGGUAAGCAAAAGUCAUAUCAAAUGGAAAAACCAUAUGCUGAAAUGAUAGCUUUUGUGAUUGUAUUUGUUACUUGAAAGCCAAGAAACUAAACGUAUAUGUUCUUCGCGAACACUGCAAUUCAUCAUUAACCUUAGGGAUUGCUAGAGGAGUAGGGUGGCAAAGUAUAGCAGGAUAUGCAAGCAUAGGAUCAUAUUAUCUAGUUGGUAUACCGGUUGGUUCAAUCUUAUGUUUUGUUGCGAAAUUGAGAGGAAGAGGACUUUGGAUUGGUAUUUUGAUAGGCUGCUUUGUCCAAACGAUGGUUCUUGCUAAUGUCACUUUUUUCACCAAUUGGGAGCAAGAGGUUUGUAUACCUUUCCUUCUCUAGUUACUUAUCUUCAUCAUUCUCUUAUAAUUAAAGUUAAUUUUUUCUCCAUUGGGCUCCAGGCAACAAAGGUGAGAGACAGAGUACUGGAGAUGACACCAAAAGGAAAUGACGAAACAGAAGUCAUAAAAGAGGAUGCGCAAGUUUUACUAAGUGACAUUUCAGAAAAUGUGUAACCCCAUUUGCAUUUGUUUCUAGUUCACAGAAGCAUUUGUUUAUGAAUCAAAUUAGAAUAUGUUUCUUCAACUGACUAUCGACAAGAGAUUAAAUGAUAAACUGGAAUCUGGGACAAUAAACAUAAAGGAGUGUUAGACAACUUCGGCUCAUAAAUGUUUCUCAUUUUGAUUGCCUCAAAUCUUCCUUAUAUGUACCUGUUCUAGACAAGUAUAUAUAUCAUCUAUGGAGAGAAACACAACAUUGACCUUGAAAAAACCUUGAUAUUUGAAAAAAUUAGACGUAAAAGCAAGUCCAAGCACAAACAAACAGUCUUAUAGUGAUAUUUGCUUCGAACUAGGGUUUGCAGGUAGUCAAGGCUAGAUAGGUGAUAACUGGUAAACCUUAAGUUACUUGAAAAUCAAGAAACAUCUCUGACCCAAAAAGGCUGGAAUAAUGGUGACUGGAAAGAAGACUUUAUAUUUUAAUAAGUCAGGUUUGUAUCAACUGUCCGACAAUAACUGAGAUUCUACUAAGCGUUCUAGUAUUAUAUUCAGACCACUAGGGUCUUUGUUUAAUUUUGUUUUGCAUGUUCUGUAUUUCUCUACUGAUUAUUCGAUCCAUCAGUUUGUAUUGACUUUCCCUGUAACCAUUAUCAACAACAAAAUAAAAAAGUUUGCUCGGACGAUGGAAAGCGGUUUCUCCUUGGCACAGAGAGAAGAAGGAAAUUACAAAAAUGAGAAAUCUGCAGGGAUGAUGAUGAAGAAAGUGAGCUACAUGGCUGCUCCAAUGGUGGCAGUUUCUGUUUCUACGUAUCUCCUUCAAGUUAUCUCCAUGGUUAUGGUCGGUCACUUAGACGAGCUCUCUCUCUCCAGCGUCGCCAUCGCCACUUCUCUUACCAACGUCACUGGCUUCAGCCUCCUCGUAAGAUAUUCCUCUCUCUUUCUCUUUUUCAUCUAACUUGACUAUAGGCCCGGAUCUCGGCAUAACCGAGAGAAACAUUGGUCUUGACUGACAAUUUUUUUAAGUUUUUUACAUAGAUAGAUGCUCCCAAAUAAUGAAACAAAAAAAAAUUAUUAAGAUUUUUAAAAAUGUUUAUUACCCUCAAAAUUUUAUAUCCAGCUUUGCUUGACUUCCGAUCAGUAGGUUGGGUUUUCAGGUGCGUUAGAGACAUUGUGUGGUCAAGCUUUUGGAGCAGAGCAAUACAGAAAGAUUGGUUCAUACACUUACAGCUCAAUGAUAUGUCUUGUCUUGAUUUGUUUCCCAAUCUCUCUUCUUUGGGUUAACAUGGACAAACUCUUCGAGCUUUUCCACCAAGAUCCUUUCAUCUCUGAGUUAGCUUGUAGAUACUCCAUCUGGCUCAUACCGGCUUUAUUCGGAUGCGCUCUUCUUCAGCCUAUGACUCGCUAUUUCCAGUCACAAGGAUUGGUUCUUCCUCUCUUCUUGAGCUCUUUUGGAGCUCUCUGUUUCCACAUUCCCUUUUGUUGGCUUCUUAUCUAUAAACUUAGAUAUGGAAUCGUUGGUGCCGCUUUGUCCAUCGGUGUUUCGCUUUGGUUAAACGUAGCUGUGCUUUGGGUUUUUAUGAGAGACUCUGCUCUGUAUCGUGAAACUAGGAAUCUUGAGCUGCAAGAAAUCUUCUCGAGCAUGAAGCAGUUCAUCUCUCUAGCGAUUCCCUCUGCAAUGAUGAUUUGGUAACUAAGUUUUCUCUGUUUCUUGAUUCUGAUUUUCAACUGAUGCUUAAUUCUUGUAUCUCUUUUGGGGUGUAAUUAAAGCCUAGAAUGGUGGUCAUUUGAGCUUCUGCUACUAUUGUCUGGACUCUUACCCAACUCAAAACUCGAAACAUCGGUGAUGUCCAUAUGGUAUGUGCAUAUAUCCCUUUGUAUAUAUUAUACAAAUGAUCCAUAUGUCACUUACAUUAAUGAUCCAAAAAUAUGUGAUUAGAUCCAAGAUAAAUGAACGAAAGAUGCAUUAUUUAAAAAUUCGUGUUAGGAUAUCCAAGAUCUAAUACUACAUCGGCUAAAAUGCAUCAUUUGUUACAAUUUAAAUUUUCAAUAACGUUUAACCAGUAAUAAUUCAAUUAAUAUUUUAAGUUUACAAUUUCUUUAUAGAAAACAUACAUUUUUUAAUUAAUAUGUCUCCUUGAGCAGCCUCACAACUUCUGGUCUGCAUUACGUUUUAGUGGAUGCAAUAGGUGCAGCCGCAAGGUAUAGCAACAUUACCAAUUGUUCAUAAGAAUAUAUUUUUUUGUGAAAAAUGUUUCUUAACCAUUGUCUUGCUUAUAUAGCACACAUGUCUCAAACGAGCUAGGAGCUGGAAACCCAAAGGCAGCUCGAGCAGCGGCCAAUGCUGCACUUUACCUUGGCGCUUUCGAUGCUUCCUUUGUAUGCAUCACUCUUUACAGUUAUCGAAAAACUUGGGCGUAUAUCUUUAGCAAUGAGGUAGAAGUCGCUCACUAUGCAACAAAACUCACACCGAUUCUCUGCCUAUCAAUCUUUAUCUGCAGCUCUACGGCCGUGCUCUCAGGUAAGCAAGUUAUAUCGAAUGGAAAAACCAUAUGCAGUAAAAUGUAGAGAUGGAGGCUUUUGUGAUUAUAUUUGUAACUUGAAAGCCAAGAAACUAAUGUACACUGCAAUUCAUCAUAUCCUUAGGGAUUGCGAGAGGAGCAGGGUGGCAACGUAUAGCAGGAUAUGCAAGCAUAGGAUCAUAUUAUCUGGUUGGUAUACCUGUGGGUUCAGUCUUAUGUUUUGUUGCGAAAUUGAGAGGGAGAGGACUUUGGAUUGGUAUAUUGUUAGGCUGCUUUUCUCAAACGAUGGUUCUUGCUCUUGUCACUUUUUUCACCAAUUGGGAGCAAGAGGUAUACCUUUCUUUCUCUAGUUACUUAUCUUCAUCAUUUUCUUAUAAUUAAAGUUUUGAAUUUUGUCUCGAUUGGGCUCUAGGCAACGAAGGCGAGGGAUAGAGUAUUGGAGAUGACACCUAAAGGAAACCAAGAAACAGAAAUCAUAAAAGAGGAUGCGCAAGUUCUACUAAGCAAUAUUUCAGAAAAUGUGUAACCCCAUGUCCAUAUGUUUCUGAUUUACACAAGCGUCUGUGUUUCUAGUUCACAUAAGCAUGUGUUUAUGAAUCAAAUAAGAAUAAGGCUUCAGGCAACAAAUUAAAUACGAUAAAGAGAGAGAGAGAGAGAGAGAGAGAGAGUCAGUAGAAACCCUAGCCCGCCGCGUUUCUCCGGCGGCGUUGUCGCUGUGUCGUCGCCGGAGAGUCACCCUUUACCUUCUUUUUUCUCCUUUUUCUUUUGCCUUCGUUAACGUCCCUUCCCCUCAGCGAGAUGCGUGUGAACUCUGGCUUCUUCGGCUCUUCAGAUCUCAGAUCUGGCCGUGUAGUGCGGUUUCCGAGUUUCUGGAGUCACAGCGAGUUGAGUCAGGAAGGUGUCGUUAUCGGAGGUCGGCUUUUAGGGUUGGAUUUUGGAUGGAGCUAUUUUCCCCUUGUCGCUCCGUGUACCUCCGUAGAUGUCUAAUCUGUGCCGUCGUCGCUCUCCUCCGAGCUUCAGUGUUCUUUCGCAGGCGUUAGUGGAUGAGCUCCGGUUGGAUUCGACAUCUGAACCCGUCUUUUCUUCAUUCCGGAAGAACUGAAACUCAUGCUCUUGGAGAUGUUGUUUCGCUCUGUUCCGGCGGCUCGGUUUUGGAGUCAAGACUAGGAACUCGUGAUGGAAGGUCUUGUGUGGCAGUUUACGCACCAGUUUGGUGGGGAACCCGUUUCUGUGUUUGAAAAGAAAUCUGCAACUAAGGUAUCUUCUCAUUAUGUGGUUCUUUUGGCUUGGAAUCCAUAUAAUAAGGCUGGAGUACGACUGAUAUCUGGACGGGACUUGAGGGUGAAGUAUGCGCCUUGGCGUUGAGUUGGUAUGAUCCAAGUUCUGAAUGUCAAUUAAGUGGUGAUCUCCAGCAAGGUCUUAGUUUGGAAUUCAUCUGUUAAGUUUAGUUUUCAGUUUUAGUCAAUGCUCGUGUAAUUAGUGGUUUAAGGGACAGUUCAUUUUCACCAUUUUGGUAAAGUGAAUUUGUUUCCAUGGUGGUCAAAGUGAUAGGUAGUUAGAUGAGGCAAUGUAGGAUCCAAAUAAGUGAUCUUAGAUGAUGCUACAUCUACUUCCAUAUAUCACAUUGUGGUUAAAGCCUCUUGAGGCAUUGUGGUCACAAUUGUUUGUAUCAAAACAUUUGGCUAAUGAUAAGUUGAUGUUGAGUUAAAAAAAAAAAAAAAAGAAUAAGGCUUCAAAUGUUUCCAAGCACACAACAGUUAAUAGUAAAAAAAUCUCUACAUAUAUCUAUGUAUCUAUAUAUUUUUGUUAUUAUUAGUACCACAUUGCAGUUGUUCUGCAAUUGUCCACAUUUUAUCAUUCGGAGCCUAUGUUUUUUGAAUUGACUAUUGACAAGAGUUGAACAAUGAACUGGAAUCUGGAACAAUAAAAUACUAUUAGACAACAAAUAUAUAGCAAACUGAAAUCAUAUUAUUCUGCUCAUAAAUGAUUUUCAUUUUGAUUACAUCGAAUCUUCCUUAUACGUACAUGUUCUAGACAACUAUAUAUUAUUUAUCGAGAGAAAGACAACAUUGACAUGGGGAAAUCCGAUGCCAUCUUCAAAAAUAGCCAAACUCAUUGACAGAAAUAUGACAAAUUGGCUUAUUUCACCUCGAGCAGCUGGAAGGUCGCAAAUACGAUAAGGGGUUGUGUGCGGUUCUCUUGUCAACCACCUGAUCUCAUGAGUCAUGACAACAUCAUCCAAAUCCAACCUUUCAUUUUUGGUUUUAAUUCUGUAUUCGUUGUAUUAUGUUUUUUUCUCCAAAAAAAAUAAGUUUUCUUUCAGCUAUAUGAUGAAGAUAUUGUAAUUCGGCCACCCCAGUUUCCAUCUUUCUUUUUAGAGUUUACCACUCUUAAUUUCUCAAAAAAUUGAAUCUAAACCGUCAAAAUCGAAAGUCGUCACACUAGUAGUUUACAGAAUCUCCAUGAAACAAGAAUAAACUUAAAAACUGAAAAUCUGCUGCAUGAAAUUAGAAGAGUUUAAGUCAUAAUCUCAAUGUGCCUUUAUGAGAUUUCAUUGGCAAUGUAUUAUAUAACCCAACACAAAAAAAGCUUAAAUAAAUCGCGAAGAUUUUUUUUAAUAAUAUCUGUGAUUAAUUGAUCAUCACUUGGUUUAUUCGAUAGUGCAUGUUACAUUUAGCGGAAUUCUGAAGAUGGGUAAGUGUUUUUGUUUUGAAUUAAAAAAAAAAUUGGUUAAAAAUCAUUCAGUAAAUCAAGUAAUCAACUAGUCUCUAACCCUUCGUCUAGGCGUCUAUAUAUUAUAUUGGACGAGUAUCACAUAAUCAUCCAUGAUAUUAUUAUGAUACUUUCUAAAAAUCUCAGUGUCACAGUCACGGUAGUAUUUAGGAAAUUUCUUUGGCAUAUGGAUAAUGGUUGGACCUACCACGGAAAUUUAAGGAAUAUUUGUUACCCAUAUUUGACAAACCUUGUAUCCAAGCAUAACCAAAUCAUAUCUCCUCAACCUUACUCAACCCGAUGUCGAAAAUUCUUUCCCUGCCAAGCAUCUCAGUAACAACCUUAACCCUUCCUAGAUCCAUCCAUAUCCGAAAAACUGUGUGAAAAGAAACUUCGAUUACAACCGUGCCGAUGACCGCCCCCCAAGCAUAACCAAAUCAUAUCUCCUGAACCUUACUCAACCCGAUGUCGAAAAUCCAUCCAUAUCCGAAAAACUGUGUGAAAGAAACUUCGAUUACAACCGUGCCGAUGAGACACGUUUUUUCCUAAAAAAACUUUGAGCAAUAAUUGACAAAAACCGAUUUUUACAUGUGUCUUUUUCAUAUUAGUGAAAUUAUUAUUUCAAUAUUUAAAUUUAAUCAUAAAUAAAUUAUAAUAAUAAAUUAAUAUGAAGAGAAUAACAAAUGCUUAAAGAACUGUCCAUAAGAGAAUUGGUGUUAAUAAUGCCCUUAGAGCACCACUAAUGGAUAUAUAAUUUCACAUAUAAUCUCUAAAUUAGUAUAACAAAUACUUAAAAAACUGUGCACAAGAGACUUGUGUUGAUGAUGCCCUUAGAGUAAUGGAUAUAUAAUUUCACAUAUAGUCUCUAAAAUUUCAAAAAAAGUCUCUAAAUUAAUUUGUAUUGAUAUUUUAAUUGCACUAAGUGAGUUAAUAAAUUUUUUGUGUAAAUUAAAUUGAGCCAAUAAAAAUGGACAAGCGUAAAUACAGUCUCUACAAAAUAGUCUCUUUGCAGAGAAAUGAUUGUGGCAUUUUCUAUAAUCUCCUCCAACUUUUUCUUUUUUAAUUAUAUUUUUUGUUGAAAGACUUCCUUGAGAGAUCAUCACAUACUACUCAUCAAAAUCUUCUUCCUUGACUUUCUCAACUAUUUUCUGACAGUUGGCACUAUAUAUAGUAUCUGGUCCAUCUUGGGUUCUUAAUAAUUAAAGAGUUACUAGACCUUCACCCGCCCGACCGGGCGGGUAUUUAUUUUAUUUUUUUAGUUUUGUUAAGUUUAUAUUAAAUGAUGUAUUUGUAGUAUUUAAACAUAAAUUUAUAUUGAAAUUUAAUCUUUGCAGUUAUAAUAAAAAUUAAAAUUAAAAAUUUAACAAAAUAUUCUGAUAUAAAUUUUAUCCUAAUUAAAAUAAUAUAGAGGUGGGUCAUAAUAUUUUUCCAUUUUCAAAAUCUUAGCAUCCCUUAAAACAAAGAAAAUAAAUUUAUAAAUACAUAAAAUAUAUAAACAUCUUUGGAACUAUAAUAUCUAUUAAAAUAAAUUUGUUAAAGAAAAAUAAUCUUGCGCUGUUGUUGUUUAUUUCUAGAGCUUGAUCCGUGACCGUAUAAAUAUUUGCUUUCACUUUAAAUUUCUUUUUUGUACUAAUGGUAUAUAUAUAUUUGUAAAUUAAAAUGUAAUAAAUAAUUGUUAAUAUAACAUUUUAAAACAUAACAAUUUUAUUUAUUACUUUGAAUAAUUAUAUUUUGUGAUUUUAAUUGUUUAUUAUAUCACAAUGUGUCAUAUAAAAAAUCCAAUAUUUAUAACUAAUUGGACUUAUAUUAUGAAAGCAUUAUACUAAUAAUAUAUGAAUAAAGUAUUUUAUAUUUUAUUUAUAUGUUAUAUAAAUUGAUUAUGAUUUGUUAUUUUUCAUUUUAUUAUUUAUUACUAACAAAUAUUUAAAAUAUUUAAUAUGUUAAUAUAAAAUAUAUUAGGAAAUCUAUUUUGGUUAAGAUUUGAUUAAGGAAAGCUAUUAUUUAAAUUUUAAAAAAGACAUUAAAUGCUUAAAUUUAUUAUUUAAAUUAGGAAAAUACAAGUAUACUUAAAUAUAUGUUCAAUAAAUAUCUCAACUGCAUGCUAAUGUAAAUAAAUGGUAAAAUUAAGGGGUAUUUUUAUUUUGUACUUCUAUUUUAAUAAUAUAAAUUAAGAAUAUAAAACUUUUGUUACACGUUCUAUACCGAUAAUACAUGCUUAUGAAAAGUAAAUUUAUCAUUCUUUGUAUUUUGAAUAAUAUAUAUAGUUAGUUGAGAUAAUAUAAUUAGAUUUUUUUGUUAAAAAAUAGCAUGCAAUAAUCAGAUAUGAUUACUUAAUCGAAUAGUAGUUAAAGAAUAUGAAAUAUACUAAAGGAAUAUGGAGAUUGUAGUAAGUAUGAUAUUAUCUUUGGUUAAUAGAAUUUAACAAAAAAAAAAAAUCUUUGGUUAAUAGAAAUUGAAUUUUGACUGUCCUUGAUUGUUACGUAAAUCUGUUUAGUACAACAUUCAAAUUUGUAUUUUAGCAACAUUUUGUUAAGAUUAUGAAAAUAAUAUUUGUGAGAUCACUUUGGUUAAUUUUAUUCUGUUUUUUUUUUCAGAAAACAUGAUUCCUAUUCCACAUAAAUGUAAUUCAUCAAAAUCACAUCUAAGAUUUUGGCAAAUUCGAGGACUGUUUAACACAAGUAGAAAGAAUGAUUCAAAUCGAUUUGUGAUGAAUGUGAGGUGUCUUGGUUAAUAAUUAUUAUAUGGUAUAGGUUUAACAUCUUAUUUUUGUUUGGCCAAUUUAUUUAAAUUGACAAUUGAUGGAGUUUGUUAAAGUUGUUAAAGCCGGUGGUUUAUUUAAGCUGGUAUAGACGUAAUGUUUGGUAAACAAUCUAAAUUAAUUAAGUGGUUUGAUUUAAGUGAUAAACAUGGUUUAUGUCAGUGGCAUAAAGAGGUAAAUAUUGAGAAAAACUCAGGACUAAGUAUAAAAUGUACUUUCCUUUUAAUAGAUUAGAUUCUUGGGUUCACCCCCUAUGGUGAACCUUUAGAUUCACCAAUCAAUAAAAAAUUGUCAUUUUAGAUCUAGUAUCUUUUAAUUAAGUAAACUAAAUAACUUGGCAAAUUAUAUUAUCUUUUUAAAAUAAAAUUUAAAAAUAAAUAAAAAUAAUAUAUAAAAAACAAAUUCAAAAAAAAAUAAUGUUGUCAACAAAACACUAAACCCUAAACUCUAAUACCAAACCCUAAACUCAAAUCCUAAACCCUAAACCCUUGGGUAAAUUCUAUAUCUUUGGAUAAACCCUAAACCCUUGGAAAAACACUAAACAUGUUGUCAACAAAACACUAAACCCUAAACUCUAAUCCUAAACCCUAAACUCUAAUCCUAAACCCUAAACUCUUGGGAAAAUCCUAAACCCUUGGGUAAACCCUAAACUCUUAGGUAAAUCCUAAACUCUUGGAAAAACACUAAAUAUUUGGAUAAAUUCUAAAUUAUAAAUCUUAAACAUUAAAUUCUAAAUCUUAAAAACAAAUUUUUUUUUUAAAUAAUCUUUUUUAGAACUAUUGUUAUUUUUUUUAUUUAAUCUUUUAUUUUUUAUUUUAAAAGCAUAAUAUAAUUUGGCAAGUUAUUUUGUUUCCUUAAUUAAAAGAUACUAGAUCUAAAAUGACAACUUUUCUAUUGGUUGGUGAACCUAAAGGUUCACUCUAUGGGGUGAACCUAAGAAAAAGUCAUAAUUAAAUCAACCUGAUCUUUUGUAUUUAAAAACAGCUAUUGACAGUUUUAAGAUUUAAUAUAUAUAAAAAAUAUUUAAUAUAUAAAGUUAACACACCCGUGACCAUUUAACCCAAAAAACAACCAAACCAGAUUAGUUUUCCACAAGACAAUGCUGUUUUUUCUUCCAAAUCGUUGAUUUAUGGUCCAAUUUUGAUUCCUUUUGUAAACGUUUAUUUCAUUACAAGUUUGACAAGCCCACGUCGAUCACAAAUAGAAAAAUUCCAAAGAUCGCGAUAUGAGCCUUGUUCAUUAAUUAUUAUUCUUUCCUGAAAAUCCUUGGUCAUUAAUUAUCAUGUCAAAUUUUUAUUGAAAGCCAAACCUUAAUAAGUCAAAAUCAUAUUGGCUUUCGCUACUAGACUCCACAUUUUCUAAAAGAAAAGAGAAGAAGAAAACACACAAUGGAAGAUCCAUUACUGGUAAAUUACAAGAAAGAACAAGAAGUAGAUAAGAUAAGAUGGGAGAAGUUGAAGAAAGUGGCAUCCAUGGCGGCUCCCAUGGUGGUCGUAAACAUAUCUCAAACCCUUCUUCAAGCCACUUCUACAAUGAUUGUCGGCCACAAAAGCGAGAUCUCUCUAGCUGGAAUUGCACUCGCCAGCUCCAUAGCUAAUGUAACCGGGUUCAGUCUCCUCGUAAGUUGAACUUGUACAAACUCAUAACAGAUUAUCCUAUUUAAUCUCCUCUGAUUUAAUUUUAUUACAUACAAUUAUUUGAAUAACAGUCUGGACUAGCGAGCGCAUUAGAAACAUUGUGUGGUCAAGCCUUUGGAGCUCGUCAAUACGAGAAGCUCGGGUCAUAUACUUUCACUUCCAUUAUUUCUCUCCUCAUCAUAUGUUUCCCAAUCUCUCUUCUAUGGAUUUUCAUGAAGAAUCUUUUGUUAUUGUUUCAUCAAGACCCCGAAAUAGCAGAGAUAGCUUCUGUUUACUGCCUUUGGCUCAUACCAGCUUUAUUUGGUUACUCUGUACUUCAAUCUUUGAUUCGCUACUUCCAGACACAAAGCUUGAUUUUUCCUAUGGUUCUGUCUUCUUUAACGGUUCUGUGUUUCCACGUGCCGGUUUGUUGGAUUUUGGUUUACACUUUAGGGCUUGGAACCAAAGGUGCAGCUUUAUCUAUAAGCCUUUCGUAUUGGCUCAAUGCGGUUUUCCUCUGGUUUUUCAUGAGACGUUCUCAACUUUGCGAUGGCAAACGCGUUUUUAUAUCGAUGGAAGCGUUUGGUCACAUGAGGACGUUCUUCUCCUUAGCGGUUCCUUCUGCGUUGAUGAUUUGUCUUGAAUGGUCGGCUUUCGAAAUUUUGAUUCUUAUUUCCGGAGUUUUACCCAACUCAAAGCUGGAGACAUCUGUGAUUUCCAUGUGGUAAUACGAAGUCCUAAUUUUUUUGGCAACACUAUAGUCUCUUUGAAUCCUAUGAUUGUUGCGUAUGACCUAAUGGCUACAUUUUCAUUUGAACAGCGUGACAUCGUCUUCUUUGCACUACAAUCUAGCAACUGCGAUUGGUGCGGCCGCAAGGUCAGUUUGUUUAUUAUAUAACUUGUUUAGAAGAAGAAACAAAAAAACAGUUGCACUUAAAUUUGUAUGGACUUACAACUUAUGAGUAGAUUAUAAUUCUAUAUUUCUUUAUAUAGUAUUGCAUUAUAACUCAUUUUCUUCUCUCAUUAUAUGUAGAUGAUAGGUGUUUUAGUCUACUUCAAAUCAAAUUCCAUUUUAAGAUCGGUAACAUAUCCUAUUCGAGUGCUAAUUUUGGGUUUUAAUAUCAUUUUAAGGUUUAAAAAUAAAGCUGAUUGUCAUUGAGUAGAUUAACUUAUGUUUCUUAACAAUUACUCUAUGUCACAUGUGACUCCUAAUAGGUAUUUCAUUGAAGUAAAACACAUGUGAACAUUAAGGGAAACGUCAAUGAAAUGCAAACAGAGAAUCAAAGUGCUAGUCAGUUUAACUAUUUAUUUUAUUUAUUUAAUUGGAUUUACUUAAAUGUUUUAGCACAAAUGUGGCCAACGAACUAGGAGCUGGAAACCUAAUCGCAGCUAAAGCGUCUGCGUUUGUUGCAAUCAUGAUUGCGGCAGUUGAAUCUUCUUCCGUAAGCGUUGCUCUGUUCAUGUUAAGCAACGUUUGGGGCUACGCUUAUAGUAACGUCCCUGAAGUGAUUCACUACGCGGCAGAAAUCACACCGGUUCUCUGCAUUUCCAUUGUCAUGGACAGCUUGUCAGCCUCACUAACCGGUUAGAAAUCCAUAUUCUCUUUAGUCUUUAUAAACACACGAAGAAAAGAUAUUUUCUAUAUAAACGUCUUGUUUAUUUUUGGUGUAUGUGUUUGAAGGGGUUGUGAGAGGAAGUGGUAAGCAGAAGAUUGGAGCUUAUGUGAAUAUCGCUGCGUUUUAUAUCAUCGGAAUUCCUGUAGGAUUUCUCUUCUGCUUUAUACUUGACUUCAAAGUUAAAGGUCUCUGGAUUGGAGUUCUUACUGGAUGCACUGUGCAAACUAUCACCUUGUUUCUCAUUACUACAUUCACAAAAUGGACCAGUGAGGUAACUGAGGCCUCUAGCUCGACUUAAUAUGCCAAUUAUUGCGGUUGUGUUCCCAUAAAAUUAUUUGUAAAGUCUCAGUUAGUACUUUUAUAUUUAUUUUUGAUUUUUUCUAUCAGUAACAUGCGAAUUUUUUAUUUGAAAAACAAAUAAAACAAUACAAAUAUAUUGUAACAUGUAACUGCGAAACCAAAUUUAAAUGUGAAAGAUGUGUGAUAUCCGCCUCUAUGAAUACCUCCAAGUAUGAGAUAGAUGUAGCAUCCAUUCAUAAAUCUAUAUGGGUUGAGACUUAGGUUAUGAAAAACAAAAAAUGUUAGAUUUAAAUCUAAAAAAAUGUCAGAUCAACAUCAAACUUGUUCACCACGUCAAGAGCACAUAUCUGGUGGUAAUAUACUAGAAGCUUUUAAGAAACAGAUUUACCAAAUGAGAUCAAAAUAUCUACACGACCUUUUGUUGACAUAUUCUCUCAUUUCUUCUCCCAAGAGGGACAUCUUUUUACAACUUUCUAAAUAGAAGAAGUUUAGAAAUUUAAUAUAGAGUUUGAUUGUGUUUCAAAAAGAAAAAAUAAUUAGAGUUUGAUUUGAAAAGCAACUCAUAGAGUUCGUAAGAUCAUGCGUCUUAAUUUUGUUAGACCAAAGGAUCAAACAAAUUGCUCUUCAAAGUUGAAUGGCAGAAUUGGUUCCAUAGCUGCAUACCUUUGAAAAUUUAUUCUACUAUUUUUUUUGUUAGAUGUUUUAUCUUUUACUGCAAAUUUAAUUAUAUAUACUAGCUACAUACCUUUGAAAAUGAAUUUAAAUUUACAAAACAAAACAACUCAUGAUAUUCAGAAGGAGAUAGAGGGAGUAAUGGUUCGAUCUCAUCUCCUCUUUUUGUAAACUCUAUAAGCUACAGAUAAUGGUGAAAUCUUCUAUAUUAUUUAUACAAAAAGAAUUGUUUAGUCAAACUUUCAGAUCUGUAGGUGGGUCUAAUUCCAACUCAUAGUCCUAUAGCCAUAUUUUCUGUUUAGAGCAUGAUUAAUUUAUACUGUACAAUAUGUAAGUAUAGAUCCUAACCCUAAUUUCUGGAUAUAAUUUGAGUUUCAUCAGCUAUGGCCCGUAGUCAGAAAGGAAAUAUGACCUAAAAAUUAGAGUGAUUAAGGGAUAAGGAAAAGAAUGUUAGGGUUAUUGUGGCUUUAAUGAGAUCAUUGGUGAUGGAUGCAAGGAGAAUGUAGCCAAUAGAAGGAUGAAAAAGUUAAAGAGGGAACAAAGAAUCUGAGUGAAACAGUUGCUUAAUUCUUAUCUUAUGCCUCUUCACGAUAAGCAUCUUCGUACUUGUCGCUUCCCUAUAGCUUCUUCCUUAUUCUCCUUUACUUUUUCAACCCUAUCUCCAUUCCUUUUCUAUCAUUCCACUAUUCCCCACUCACACCAUUCUUUUAUUAUAUUUAAUAUUUGCAAUUAUGUUCACAAUUACACAUUUACAUGUAUAUACACACACAUAUAUCUUACAGUUAAUUGUCGUUUUACAACUAUGUUAUAUAUCUACUAAUAAUAGGAAUCCCAAUUAAUUCUAAAGGUUGUGAAUCCACUUAUGUUGAAAGGUUGUGUCUUUUGAAAAAGAAGUGUAAAGGGUUGUGUCUUUUCGAAAAGUUCUAUGUUGUAAGGUUGUGUCUUUUCCAAUUAAUUCCAAAGGUUGCGAAUCCACUUAUGUUGAAAGGUUGUGUCUUUUGAAAAAGAACUGUAAAGGGUUAUGUCUUUUCGAAAAGUUCUAUGUUGUAAGGUUCUGUCUUUUCCAAUUAAUUCCUAAGGUUGUGAAUCCACUUAUGUUGAAAGGUUGUGUCUUUUGAAAAAGAAAUGUAAAAGGUUGUGUCUUUUCUAAAAGUUCUAUGUUGUAAGGUUGUGUCUUUUCCAAUUAAUUCCUAAGAUUGUGAACUUCAGUUAUGUUGAAAGGUUGUGUCUUUUGAAAAAUAUGUGUAGAGGGUUGUGUCUUUUCUAAAAGUUCUAUGCUGUAAGGUUGUGUCCUUCUAAAAAUUGUCUAAAAGUUGUGACUAUUCAUACAAUUUUUAAACACAACAAUUUUAAGCGAAAUGAUAAAAUAUAUAGACUUAAAAAGACAUAAGAUAAAGAUGCAAUUUUUAAAGUCAAAAGUGAUAAUAAACAAAACAAUAUAAUAUAUGUUGAAAAUAUAAAUUAAGAAAAUACAAUUUAAAAAUAAAAUCAGUUAUAAACGAAAAGGUACCUUGAAUGGUUAUAAACGAUAAUGUACCUUAAACAGUCAUGAGCAUAAUUAAAAUGAAAAGACAUGUCCCUAUGAAUUAAUUGGGUUUGCCAACCAUUUAAAUGAAUCAUUGCAAUUGUUUGGAUGAACAUUUACAACUGUUUAAUUGAACUGUUACGACCUUACAUGAUUAAUCAUUGUAAGUUUUGAUCUUCAACCAUUGCAACAUUUAGUUACCUUACAUGAUUAACCAUUGUAAGUUUUGAUCUUCAACCAUUGCAACAUUUAGUUACGAAUCAUUGUAAUUCUAUUAACCAUUGCAAUAGUUGGUGGUUAAGCAUUGCAAUCUUUGGUCUUCUACAUAUAGUAGUUGUGAACAAUGAAAAAAUCAAACAACAAAAAAAUAUCAGAACAAAUAAAAAAUAGAUAAAAAGGAGAAAGAUUCACUGCUCCAAAGGAUCAUAAAAUAUUUUUAUAGGAUAAGACAAAUAAAUUUAUCUUUUCUUUUAAGCAAAUAUACAAAAGAUAUAAACAAAGUUUCCAAGUUUUAUAUGUGUUUGCUCCAAAAUAUUUUAGCAAAAAUCUUUUUACUCUUCAAAUGCUAAUCAAUUAUGGUUCAGAAAUGCAUGUGUGGCAAAAGAUUUAUUAGAAGGAGAUGAAGAGUGGCAUGAUACAAUUAAAAGGCAUCAAUUUGGGACACACGAAAUCAAUUUGUAUUUACCAAUCAUAUUAUUAAUUUACUGGAAAGUUACAAAUUCAUUACAAUUAUGAAAUUCAUAUUGAAAAUAAUCUCCUGAAGACAUAGAGUUCCAGCAGAAAAAUCGGUGAAUUUUUUUUUACAACAAACCCGUGGUUCAUUUCCAAAUGAUAAUUAAUAAUGGUGUUUUAUUAUUUUCUAAAACAACAAAUUUCUAUAUCUAUAAUCGUUAACAAUUCUAUUUCUUCAACCUUAAAAAGUUUAUAAACAUUAAAAAGUUGGUGUUUACAGUUAUAAUAAAAAUGGCAUUACUAAAAUGAUUCUUAAGAUCAGUUACAAAAAACAGAUUCUUAAGAUACAUAAAUUAAGAUAGUAAGAAUAUGUGUUCUAAAGAUGAAGAGUUAUUGUGUCUCACACAAAUGCACCAAGUGCUGUUGAAUCUAUGUACCAGAAGAUAAGAAAAUAAAUAGUGCUUGUUAAGAAAUGAAGAUGAUGAUGGAAUUGAGGUUUAUGGUAAAUGUUAAAAAUUAUAUUUGAUCAAAAAAGUAAACGUUAAUAUAUUAAUCUAAGAGGUGUGUGCAUGCUUAAAAAAUACGAAUGAGGAGUUGCAAGUUAAAGAGACAGUUACAAACUUAACUUCUCUUUAAUUUGUAACCUUCAUUUUGUUAUUAAAUAUUUUUUAUUUAACAUUACUUGUCGAAAACUAAACUGUCAAAAAGUUUAGUCAAUACUUUAUUGUAGUCUAAUAAUCACAUCUCUGUAAUCUCUGAGAAUAUUUUCUAAAAGUGUCUAAAAUGUAUAUUUUCUCUAAAUAAAUAUUAAAGUUGUGAUUUUCAUCAUAUUGUAUCUUUCAUCUUAAAAAUGACAUUAUUUAAAAAAUGUUAUCAAAAUAUAUAAGUAUAUAUCUAUUCAUCUUAACAAUAUGUUUUUCAUUUUAAGAAUUAUGUUCGUGUAGAAGAAGUAGUCAAGUGUAUAAGGAUGUAUCUUUUCAUCUUAAACAUUGCUUUUAUUAAAAAUAAAUUAUCAAAAUGUCAAAAAGUGUAUAUUUUCUCUAAAUAAAUGUCAAAAGUUACAAUUUUUCAUCUUAAAUACAUUUUUUAAAAAUGUUGUCAAAAAUAUAUGAAUAUGUAUCUUCUCUUUUAUAUAAAAUGUGGCAUAUUUUUUCUAAAAUAAAUUCUCGUGCGAUAUCGCACGGGUUUCCUUUCCUAGUACUAAAUAGAGUAAUAUUGUAAGAAAUCAUUAAAACAUAUUUUUUUCUUAAAACUAGCACAUAUAAGAAAAAAAUAUAGAAUAUCAUUUAUUAGUUAAACACUUUUUAUUUUAUAUUUGAGUUUAAAACUUUUUUUAACAUCAAACGACUGAUAUUAUUAAAAGCUUGAUAAUAGGAACAACCAAUGUAAUAAAAAUCUUUAUGAUAAACUUUUGAUAUCUUAUCUAAUGAUCAAUAUGUUGUUUGUUUUCAGAAUGUAGAUGAUAAACAACAGAGAAGUAUACAAAUCUUUUCUUCAGUCUUGAUAUGUCUUGAUAUCUCUUUUAACUCUCUAGACCAAUUUGACAAUGUUUUUUGUUCUUGUAUCAUCGAAAUUAUGUCUUUGCCGCAAUCAGUUCCAAAGUGUUGGCACAUCAAUAUUUGCAGCAUAUAUUCCAUAACCCCAAAAAAAACUCAAGGUCUACAUGUAUAGAGAUUAUUGAUUAGUGUUUAAGCUAGCAUUUUAGAAAUUAGUCAUUUAAUCCUUUAAUAAAUACUAUUCUAAGAUUUUUUUUCAUUUAUAUGCUACGUUGUCAUAAAUAUUUUUAUAUGCUAUCUAAGAGAUUUUUCCACGUAGAGAAAUGUCACAUUUCGACCCUACUCUUUUCAAAUUUAUAUUUGCUAGUUUUUUUGGGAACUAAGUCUAUUAUAUUCUCAAGGUUGAGUGGUUUUUGUUUUGGUUUAACAAUAAAUACGAUUAAGAGAACUAAGUAGAGCCAGUUACCUUUGUUUCUUACACAUGUAGUUCUAUCAUUCAGCUAUAUAACAAUUACUUUUAGUUGGUUCUAAAAAUUCAAUGUAAAUAUUUAUCGACAGACUUGUGGCUUUGGUCAAGCAUAAGCAUAGGACAGAGCAAAGUAUCCAUAAUAUUUGAUACGUUUAUAUUCGAACUAAAAACUCGGAUAUUCGUAACUCUACGAAACAAAAUAAAUACUUUUAUAUGCAAUAUAUGUUAAAAACAACAUGAAUUACAAAUACUAUUAUUUCUAGGAAAAUAUAUUCAGUCGGAUCCAUUAUAUAUAUAUAUGUAAAUCAUAGUUAUCAUAUUUAAUGUAAGUUUACAAUAUGUUUAAUUAUUAAAUUGAUUAUUUUAGCUAUGGGGAUUUUAAUAUGUACCAAAUUAUUAUUAUGUUAUAUUAUAUAUUUAUUUUUUAAUUUUUAUUUUAUUUAUACGAUUGAAUUAGAUAUCCAGUAAAAUAUAAAAUUUUUUAAUAUCCAAACACUGAAUAUUCAGAUAAAUAUGAAUCAGAUCGAAUCGAAAAAUAAAUUGAUUAUUCAGAUAAAAUAUCGGAUUUGAUUUACGAAUAUUUACAAAAACUUAGAUAUAUGACUCGUGUCUAUUACUCAAGCCAGCAUCGCACAUGUAAUCUUAUUAUCUCUACAGAAAUCUAGAAACAAUUCUGCCUGAGUGAAGAAUAUAUAAAUGUAUGUAUCUAAAAAGAAAACAGAUAAAAGUAUACUCCUUGAUUAGAUGCAGUGCAUUAACCUUUUUGUGACUGUACGCCAAUUGUGUACCCAAAUUCACGGUCUUUUGUCCCAAGUAAAGAUAUGAUUGGAUAUAGCAGCUUUUUUUAUUGUUUUGCCAAUUACAACGCGACGCAUGGUUCAUGGACGUAACAGACACCAUUAAUAAAUAUUAAAUAAUAACUAAACUAGUUGCUGCGCUGAUAAAAAAAAAGUUAGGUUUAUACGGGAAAAAUGUCGAAAAUAUAUUAAGUCUGUAUAAUUAGUCGCGUAGUAUGCAAAGUUUAUUAUUCGUCAAAUAAUUACGAAGUUUGCAUUGACUGAGUUAUUUUAAAUAUGAACAUAGUUAACGUGAAUUAUAUUUUUCUUAUUCUUCAUGUAUAGUUUACAAGAUCGAAAAUCCCAAGUUCCUUCACUAACACUAGAUCUCCAACUUCGUUUCUCAAAAAUUACAACUGUUGAACAAUAGAGUUCAUAUAAAUUAAGUUCUCAUAAAAAUUAAUCUUUACCCAAAUAUAUCCUGAAGUCCUGAUCUCGAGCUAAUAAGGGAGAGAGAAGAGAUCGAGUUAGGUGUUGGUGAGAGGCACAGGGAAGUUGGCACUGUUCAUAACGGCCAUAUAUGGCACUGUUCAUGUUGCCUAUCCCUAAUCUAAAAUAGCUCAGCCAAAGUAAAUUUUGUGAUUUAUUUAGGACUAGGAUAUUAGGCAGAUUGGCCAAGUUUAAAGAAAAUUUUAAUCAUUUUUUGUGCUUAAUUUGAGAUGCUUGUUACGAAGAAGAUCUCUAUUGGAAACACAUAUACACACACAUUAUAAUAUAAAUGUACCCUUUUAGGUAAAGAUUAAUUUUUUCAGUGACAAAAAAAAAGAAGGUAAAGAUUAAUUUUUUUUCUUUUGGGUAAACCUAAAGAUUAAUUUUACGGAGCAAUAAUUUAAAUUUGAUAUCUUAGGGUUCUUCAACUCUCGUUCAGUCAUUCGGUGAGCCCAAGUGUUCCCUGGAAUAUAGCUUUGAAGACUCUAGAGUUGGUUUCCAUCCACAGAAUCUCAACUUAUCGUAGUGACAAAGUGACAAGACUUUUAUGCUUCAUCUUUCACUUGAAACCAUGUUUUUGCAUUAAAAUUAUUUAAAUCCGGUUCUCUUUUGUAUUUCUAAAGUUCUGUGUGUGGAUUUGGCACUUAUAUAUAGAAAAAAGCGUGUAAUAACAUAAGGCUGGAAUUGGAUAUUUCGCAUGGUGAUAAGGUUCAAGAUUUUUUGAAUAAGUUAUUUAACGAAAAUUUUAAAAGAUAAAGUUAAACAAAAAUCAAAUGUUGAACUGUUGAAGUGGAAGCGACUCUUGCAGUAAUACAAAAGAGAACUAGGCUAGUUCCUGCGUCGUUCACUGGUCUGUAAAGUUUGGUCGUCGGUCAAAAAGAAACAACUGAUAAUAGUAUUAUACUAAUACUUUUUUUUUUGUAACACAAUAGUAUUAUAAUACUAUAAAUGGAUUCUCGAACAUGAUGCAAAUCACCUGUAGUUUUGGUGGCUUUAAAUCAGUUGAGAAACUAUGACCAACCAAUUACUUUCGAAAGGUGUAAUGGAAUUAAACUAGGGAUGGUCGAUGUGAUUGAGACUAAUUUCUCAAUGUGGAAUGUGACAAAAAGAUCUGUCUCCAGAAACCUCCAACCAACUAGCAUGCUUAUUAGCCUUUCUUAGGCAUACGGAAUUUAGACAUAAAAUUCUUACUAGUACGUGCGCAUGUAGAGGAACCUUCAAUGGUGCCAACUACCAAGACUAUGAUAUCUCCGUUCCCAAAUACAAAGAUUAAUCAUAUAAAAGUUGAAGUACCAAUGUGCACAAAAAAAGAAGUACCAACAAAUAUAGACAAACACGGAAACUAUUAUGAAUAAGUUCUUAAAUAAUUCAUAACUUUUUACCUGUAUUUAUUUUGCAAUUGUAUAUUAGCUUUUGUUUGUUAUAGAUGAAGGGGCUGAACUGAUAAUUUUAGCCUCCCGUACUAUAGUAUCGUACAAGGUUAACAAUAAUAUUUUUAAAUUUUAGCAUACUAUUUAUAUUUGUAAGAUAAAUAUUUUAUAUAUUUGUAUACUUGUACAUAGACAUUUGGUUUGUAAGAUUCUCUCCAAUAUUUUAACAUGUGACAAGAUUUGUUUGGCUAAUGUGAUAGAAGUAUGAAAUGUUUAUAGGGAACCCUAAAACUUUGAUCAAAUUUAGAUUUAGUCCAACUCAAUAAUUGGAUUAUUUACAUGUACUUAUGUAAAACUAAUAUUAUAUUCACUAUGUGCUAUCUUUUUUUAUUAUUGCUCUCGAUAUAAACAAUUUUUUUGUUGUUCAAGAAUCAAAGAUAAAUUUAUAUAUGGUGUUAUCAAAGUUUUCUCUUCAAAUUACCUAGCUAAAAUAGUAUUAUAUAAAUGUUGGUAUUAUAAAAUGUAAUGUUGGAUCGAUUUUGAACGACGAUUAUAUCAAACUGUUUGUGGUUUAGUGGUUAUAUAAAGAUGUUAAUUCCUUUGUGUUUUGAAUUCAAACCUUCUCUAAUACGGUGUUCUAUUUUUUUUAAUUCGGAUUUCCAUAAUUGAUUAUAAAUCUAAAAUAUAUUAUGAGCCUAAGAUUUAGAAUUCGUACAUUAUUUAAGAAGUUGGUUGUAUAAAAUGUGAUGUUGGAUCGUUUUCCCAGCGGCAUGUAGUUGAUGAUAAGGGAUCAAUACCGAUCAGUGCUAUUGUAUAAAGGUUAGACUGAUUUCUACAGUUACAUAUACUGUUACUGGAGUUCAGCAAGCCUUCAUGGUUAUGCCUUGACGUGAUGCAAGCUUCACGAAUUAGCCAAGAUUUUAAACGAACGCCUUGGUAAGUUUUUUACAUCUUUGGAUCAUGUUGUCCAGGGGCGGACCUAGGUGAGCACUAGGUGUGGCAAGAGGACCUAGGUGAGCACUAGGUGUGGCAAGAGGACCUAGGUGAGCACUAGGUGAGGCAAGAGCCACAUACAAAAUUUUAAAUUUUCAUUAGUUGUAUUGUAAAUUGAGGAACUCAAAGGGCUUAAUCAAUCUCCUAUGCCCCAUUCUUUUUCGAUUGAAAUUUUUGUUAAUUACUAUGGUGUGCCCCAUGUUGCAAUGCUUACUAGAUCCUCCCUGGUUGUCCGCCAUCCAAGAUCAAAAUAAUUUAUAGGAUUUGAAGAAACAUUUGUUGUGUAUCUUUUUCCAAGGCAUUGGUUAAAAAUAAGGAUAAGAGCGAAUUAUAAUGGUGGAGGUUUUUUACUCAUUUUUGAUGGAUUUAAGAAUGGCAAUUGUAAUGGCCAUAUUAAUAGUUAGAUUUUUUGAUUAAUUUUGACGAAUCCAUCAAAAGUCUAUCAAAAACGUUGGUUAGUUAUAUUCGAUUCAAAUUUCUUUUGGAAAUACCAAAAGAUUAUGACAGUUUAAUGUGAUCCAUCAUAAAAGUUUUUCCGAUUAUGUUUCUAUUAGUAUACCGUCAGAAUUGUAUUAGAAAACUUUGACGACAUCUCAUAAAUUCAAUCGGUUUUACCAUUCUUUUUUUUUUAAUGAAGACUUGUUUUUUUGAAUGAGUUGUAAUGAAGACUUUACAAAACUUGAAACCAUCGAAAUGGACAAUCGAAUAAAUUGAAGACUUGCUGAAUUCCAAAAAAACGUAAAUAUAUUUAACUUUUCAUGUGAAGAUAAGAUCAUCUUCCAGAUUAUCUGUCUACACAAAACCGUAAAUAUAUAUAAUCUUAGCGAAAUGAAAUUUUCGUAUUGAUAGAAAAAGCAUCUCCAGUACCUUACCUUGUCAAUUGAUUGAUGGUCUCAUAGGGACUUAAGAAAAUAUAGAAUUUGAGAAAAUUUACCAAAAGAAGUAUCGGAGAAAAUAAUUGUGCGAAUGGGCUUCAUGUCUUUAUUCUAUUUUGGGUGGGUAUCUUUUAAAGAUUUGAUCUUCUACUUUUCUGAAAACCUAGAUAUAUAUGAUUAUCUUCUUCGUCGUCUUAUACACAGUAACACAAAGUUUGUUUCUUCUAGAGUUUCAAAUACCGUACCUGCAUAGUUAUACUAUCUUUGUUUUUCGAUUACCUUUUUUUAAUAUUUAUCCUUAUAUCGAAAUUUAAAAGGUGGCAUCCUUAUAUAUCAUCUAGUGACCCAAAUCAUGAGAUCAUUUAAUUACGAAAAAACGUGUAGUGUUUAUUGUAUUUGUAUUUUUAACCCCAUAAAAUAUUUAUGGACAAAAAGAAUUAUGUAAACUAGGAAAACAAUAACUAUACUCUUUGUGUGAAUUUUAACUGGUUGGCAAGAAAAUAUUAAUACAGAACGACGAAAGAGAUGUAUUUAAAACAAUAUCGAAGGUCAUAGUAUAAUCAUUUCCUCAGUAGAUCACAGUAAAUUAUAGGAGAGGAGAGUAACAAAACGACUUACAUACGAUUUAUAUCGGAUCACUUUUAAUAAACCUACGUCCACGUUUCACCAUUACUGAUUUCAUUAUAUUAGAAUUCAGACUUCUUAAAAAAAAUUCGGACUUACCAGAAUUCUCUCUUUUUUUGUUUCUCCCUCUACAACAGUAAUAAACAGUGACAACAAUAUAAGGAGAAACCAAUCAUAGGUCUAAAAAUGUAGUACGGAUCGAAGGUGUAAGUGGACAUUGACAAUGUUUGGUACGUUGGUCAGUUGUUUAGAUUGUGGAAACAACUAUGUUAUGUAUCCUAAAUCUAUAUAAUAAAAAAUACUUAAGGCAAAGAACGUGUAGUUUCAUCAGGGAUGCUAAUUCUGACGAAGAGAAAUCAGAAACAUGUUAGUUUACAAAAAAAAAAAAGAAAUCAGAAACAUGAUGGGGGACCUAAUACAACAAUGGCUUGUGCAUGAGCAAUCUCACUCUGUUUUUAAUACCUAGGCUUGAACUUGUUUUUAUUCAUUUUGCCAAGGUAACUCCUAGCCUGAUCUAAAUUAUUGUAACUUGUUACAAACUCUUUCCGUCUCUUUUAUAGAAUUCAUAUAUUUGGCACACACAAAAAACGUCUAAUAACUUUAUGUAUUGAUAUAUUUUAGAUUAAUAAUCUAAUGUUCGGCCUUAAAAAUUAUGUUAUUUGCACUCUAGCGUUGCAGGCCGUCUUAAGUAGGGGACAAACACUGUGACCGUCUAGGGUCUGAUCCGAUGUCCCUCUUUUUUAAUUGUUAGGGAUCUGGUUUUUAAAAAAAUAUAUGUUGAAAAUAUAUAUAAGGCGCAAAAAUAUUUUAUAUAAAUGUAUAUAUUUGCUUAUAAUAUUAUUAUCUUUAAAUGGAUAUUAGGUUUAAGGGUCAAAAAAAAAAUUGUACUAUGGACCUAUAAAAUUCUUGAGCCGGCACUGUCUUGUUGUGAUUAUGGCUAUUUAUUUUUUUUGUCAAACAAUCAAGGCUAUUAAUGUUUUAGAGUUCGGUUUUAAACGCUAGUUGAUCCUAGGUGAAAAUUGUAAUUUCUUAGAAGAACAAAUUCUUUUGUUUGUUUUUUUAUUUCUUUUGGCCGUUCCUGGCCCUUUGAUGUGAUUUUCCAUCAAUGAUUCAGUAUAUAAUGCGAGUUUGACGUCAUACGUUUUCCAUAAAGAUAUCGCUGACUAUUUUCAUCCCAAAGAGGUAAUUAAUCUUGCAAAACAGGUAGACAGUUCCAGAAAAGUGGACUAAGAAUAAUUUUCUACUGUUGACAAGCAUAGAUUCGAAAAUCCGUAUAUACCAAAGGAACCUAAAUAAUUACAAUAUUAUUCCAAACUUGUUGAAACAAAAUGUUCGAUGAAAUUGGAGAAGAGAAAUCAUCUCGCUGCUCUAUGUACGUCUAUAAAUAGUGGCUUCAAGAAUACUCAUCAUCAUCUCAUCACCAACCUUCUGGUACUUCUCUAACCCCAUACAUACAUCUAAUCAUAUAGUUCUCCAAUAUAUAAAAAGAUGUUGAGCUAAAACUACAAUGAUCACCAAACUUGGUAUUUUUAUCAAGAUCUUGAUAGUCGCUAGAGGUAUUUAUUAUUCAUCUUUUAUAGCAUUUAGUGAUCUUUUCAAUCAGGAUUCUGUAGUCGACCUUUAACGUUUGGUAGGCGUUGAUAGUGUUGACAGAAGAUAGAGAGCACAGAUGAUGAGAUGCAAUUUGGAGCAGCUUGUAUGCAUCGUACUCCUUUGUGCUCUCUAGUCUUCUGUCAUCACUCGUUACUUGCCUUAACCCACCGUAUAUAUAACCUAUUUUUUUAUUCAUGACUUAAUUACUAUUUGAAACUAUAAAGAAUACACAGUUUAGCCCUAAACAUGUUUUGAUCAAGAAAAACUGAACUUGCAUGAUCAUAUGUUCUAAUAUUGAUAUAUAUUAUGUGUUCUUUAUUGAGUUGUCUAACAUUCAAAUUUGGUUCGAGAGGUAUUUUAAUUAGCUAUAUCCAAAUCGUUUUUAGAGUGAAAGAUUAGUGAUCAAUUUUUAGUUUUGAAUCCUAUAUGAUAUAUAUAGUGAAUAUGAUAUUGGAGUUGGUUACCUUUAAUCAUUUUAGGUUUUUUAGAGUUGCUCUUAGUUUCUUUCCUUCCAUUAGCGGCGCUACUCAUGAGUCAAAGUCGAACAGAUAGACUGCGCAUAGCGUAUACAAAAAUCUGAAAUAAAUAUGAGAAUAUACAUAGAAUAUAUUUAAUAUACAUAGAGCUGGAAAUCAUUCAAACUCUUCGGUUGUGCUUUUCGGACUUCAAGAUCAGCUAUUUUCCAAGGACGUAAAACGAUAUUGCAGAUUCGCUAGUUAGGAAUGCACGUUCUUUUCAUAGAUCCCUAUGUUUUAUUGGUUGUUCUAUUCCGGUCUAGCUACCCAGACCACCUCAAGUUUGAGUAAUAGAAUAACCGUUUGCUGCCAAAAAUAUAUAUAUAUAUGUAUAUAUAUAUUUUUUAAAAAAUAUUUAUAUAUUAACCACCAAACUUUUAAAAAUUUCAUUUGAAUUAUUCAAUAAUCAAAGUUAAAAUAUUUCCUCCACAACACAUCUAAUUCAAAAUACAAGAAAGAGGAUUAAUUCGAAUUCAAAGAAUACACAUCAACAAUAGUUUUUGAACACAGCUAAGAAAUGAAGUAAAGAACACUAAAACUUAAAAAUCAGAAAUGGAAUAAAGAACACUACUGACCGAUUGAACAAAACUCAUAAAUGGAAAAUAGAAUCAUGCUUAUGCAAAUGGCAGGGGAAGAUCACUAAAAUAAUGAAUAAACUAUGAACAGAAGCAUAAGAGAUUGUUAACUCUAGUUCACAAAAUCAAUGGAGGUUAAUGAGCGAUGACCUCGAUUCCAUCUGAUUUCCCCUCUACUUAGUUAUCACUUUCCCCUUCACUUCUCACUUUCCCUUUUUCGUCACCAACAAAAAAAUAGGAUUCUUCAAAUGUAAAUUGAAGAGAAAGAGGAGAAAAAGGAUUGGGCUGAAUAGUUUAAUACACCGAAAGUGACUGUUUAAAUAUCUAAACGAAGACAUAUGAACAAAAUAUUCUUGACCAAUGAAAGUUGAUGUUAGGAGUUUAUGAACAAUCAAACUUGUAUAGAUGGCAUGUUUGUGUUGUUGGAUUCAACGGAAGUUAGUCUUCACCUAUCUAAACAUAAGAAUUAGUACUUCUCCUGGCUAAUCUAGUUAAAGAAGUUUCGGUUCGAAAAUAGUUCUAAUCAUAUUCCGUGUCUUGCAGAUAUUUCAUGAAUUUUGUUUCUCAAGUAUUUCUUGCGGCCAAACGCUUUUUUCUCCAGUUUAAAUUUCGUUUACAUUUUCUUUUUUACAUUCUUUGUAAUUAGAAACAACAAAAACAAACCAUUUUGUAUCUCAUAGAUUCAUAAUGUAACUUUAGUAUUUUAAGAUUCAGUCUCUAAAUACUACCACGAACUAUUGUGCACUUCUGGUAUAUAAAUAUAGUCAAAAUCUGAUCACAUCAUAAUCACAAUUCUCAUUCGUCAUGGAGUUUCGUUCAUCAUAUCAUAGAAACGCAGAUGUAAACGCAAAUAAACAUUUGUGGCCUCCUAAAUUAAAUUUGUAGAAACUUGUACAUCAACCGAAAAUUUUGUCUGGUUAUGGCAAAACAUUAAGUCACAACAUCAUAUAAAUAGUAGGCUACGUUAUAUAAUGACAUUUCACAGAGCAAACCCGCAUGAAACAUGUCUAUACGAAACUCAUCAGUUUUCAAAAGGCCCCCUGCUAUGUUCCUAUAUUUUGAUGGCUAAACAACAGUGAUAUGUCAUCUGCUAUGUUCCUAUAUUUUGAUGGCUAAACAACAAUGAUAUUUCAAAGCUCAAGUGUAAGCAAAUAACAAAGAAUGAAUGGAUGCAUUAAGCUCACAGGUCACUGGACAAUAAGGUGACACUUGAUCUAUAAGGUUAAGAGAACCAAAGACAUGAGGUAACACCCAGACGUGAGAUGCUACAUUAGAGUAACAAACUUUGUUAAGGAAUAAGUAUCACUUAGAAGGAGCAUUAACGUUCCGUUAAGUUCACUACAUAACUGGAAAACAGGUAACUCAGAAAGAGGUUAAGAAUUGUGUUGUGAAAUCAAAUACUAACUCUACAGCAAAUAGCUCGUGAAGGCCACACAUCAUCUAGUAGAAGAGCAUGAUAACUAGAAGUGAUUACUAUAAUAGGAAAUUUAACUCUUCAGUUCACAGAAUGCAUCUACACAUAAAGGUUCUCAGUACAACUAGCUGAGCUACAGCGUUCUGUUGUAGACCCUAAACAGAGCAACUCAACACAUAAGAAAGGUAUCAUCCAACACAGUUACUGCAUUCUCAGUGUGAGUUCACUAUGUAAGAUAAAAAGUAAGCUAAGUGAGGCAUGACAAGAUAUUCUACAAACUUCAUCAUUCGUGUAAGUUGAAACUUAAGGAAGUAGUUGCAGAUAAACUCAAAGAUGCACAUCUAAACUCAAAGAUGCAUAUCAUCAUAUGACUUAAGACUAUGUUCGUUUCACAACAGACCAAGUUAAUCCUUUCUCAUGUUCAGUAGAUCAACAAAAACUACACCACUGGUUUCUUGUGAAACGAACAUAGUCUUAACAUGAGAAAUCAAAACCAGUGGUCUAAUCCCAACACAAAUAGUUCACAAUGUCUACUUUUACACUAGACUCAUAACUAUCAACAAGUCAAGAAACCAAAACGCCCUAAAAUCAAAUCAAACAGAACACAGAAGAUUGAAUCAGUCACUUGUAAGAAAGUUGCAUACUUUAGACACAAAGUUAAAAACUUUAAUCAUCUCCAUCCGUAAUUAUAUUCCUUUAACCGUAUCAACAUUUAUUUAACAUCGUUCCCUUUCUACCAUUCAAUUACCCAGAAAAAAAAUUACGAUAUUUAUAUAGGUAUCAAAUCUGUACAAAUUAUUAUUACCCCUUUUUAUUAUGUAUAACCUUUGCUCUUCCCAGAUCAGUGAGUGAGAAGCAUCCUCUCUUGAUCGGUGAGUGAGUGACGGAAGUGGCAACGGUGGCCGUAAGGGCACGUGGAUCCGGUGACGAUCAUACGGCAGACUUCCGUUUUGUAGCGCGGGUGCCUUAUCACCGGACGGAGCUCGUCGAUUCCGUGAGCGAAUUGGCAGUUAUCUCCGUAAGGACAAGCUCCGGUCUGUUGCCACUUGUUGCAGAGCUCCGUCUUCGUCAUCCCUUGACGGUACACCUCAAGCUCCAACGCAUCUCUCUCUCCUUUCGUCGGCACACACACCUUCUGAGUUACCUUCACAGAUUUAUCCACAUUUUAUUAAUUAAAAUUAAAAAGAAAGUUAAUUAAAAUAAUAAUGAGUGAGGAUUACCGAGUCGGAACCGAGUUGACUCGUUUGACGACUCGCACCGCCAUAUCCAUGGCUCAUCAUCUUGAGAUAUCCCGGCGAGCGGACGGAGAUGCUCUUAGGCAACGAGUUUCUCUCCGGAUCGCUUCUCCUCCUCGCUUGGCUACGGAAAUCGGAGAUCUGUUGGCGGUUACGGACGUGCGGCGGAGAGACGGAGGAGGAAGACGACGAAGUGGAGAUGUGGAUGAGCUUGAGGAGAUCGACGUUCUCCUGGCGAAGCGCGUCGUUCUCGCGGCGGAGCGAGUCGAGCUCCGUCAUCAGGGACUGGAGGCGGGAGAGGCAAACCUCGUAGUUCUCGUUGAGCUCGUCGUACUCGAGGAUGAGACUCGCUUGGCGGAGGCGGUGCUCGGUGGCGAUGUCGACGCGAAAGGGAGGAGAGGAGGAGGAGUACGGAGGAGACGGAGAGAGGGAGAGCGAGUCGGGAAACUGAGAUUCCGGCGAGAAGAUCGAGUUGUAGAGCGAGGCGAAGCUCGCGGCGAAAUCUUCCUGGUGCUGUUUGGUGACGCUUUUGUCAGAUUGAGGUGAUAGCGGAGGCGGCGGCGAGUUUAGCGCCGUCACGCACGCCAGAUCCGUUACGGCGGACGCCACUUUCUCCAUUUUUCGAUUCUGUUAAAAGCUUCCUGAAGAAGAUUUGUUCACAAUGGUUUAAUCGGAGAAGACGAUACAGGUACACAACGAGCAAAACCUAGAGAGAGGGAAGGAGGAGAGAGAGUACCUGAGUAUCGUUGAAGUGUGGAGAAGGCAAAAGAGAAAGAGGCGGUGAAAGAAAGAUGAACAAUGCUCUGUAAAUGAGUAUUUAUACACUGUCAAAUACCGAACCAAGAGAUAGGUGAGGGAGAAGAAGAGUUACAAUCACAUGCGGGAGAGACCACCAGAAGCUUGUUCCUAUACACAAUCUAGACCUUAGAGUGAGUCGGUUUAUGGAUCUGGGUGUAUUUAAUUGGUUAGCGAAUCGCUUCCCUGUGAUUAAGUAAAGCACAGAAGAGUACUCUACCUACUUCGCUUUUCCCGCCUACUUCAGAACCGUUAGAGGUCUUUAACAGAAUAUUAUCAUUUAUUUAUUUUAUUUUAAGGAAAAAAUGUAGAUAGCUUCAACUACAAAACUAGUGUUUUGAAAUUGCAUAUUUACUACAAAACUAAAAAAUACACUGAGAAAAAUGAUUAGUAUAUUCGGUUUGGUGUAUGAUUUUAAGCGUGGGAAUGGGAUUGUGACAAAUAUUCACUAUAAAAUGUUAACCCACUUGUACCGUUUUAUGAAUUACUAAUUAGCAACUUGUGUAAUUACAACUUACUUAAAAUUGUACUCAAAAUUAUCAAUCUUCUCAUUUGGCAAAAUUUCUGGAAAAUAUGAUGAAUAUUCGACGUCAAAAAGACUAACAAAACGUAAUUUGAAAAUUUAGAUGGAAACAAAAAUGUUUGUUACGGGGGAAGUUUUGCUUGUCACUUAAGGAAUUGUAAUUUGGAGGAUACAAAAAGUAGUGAUGGCUUGUAGAAAAUAAGAAAAGAAAAAUUAAUCGAGAAUUCUAUUUUAAAGUUUGGUUGGCUCGAUCAUGAAUAAGAAUAAUUAAUUAACUGAUGAUGAAAUAAUAAAAAUUAGAUGUCAUUGUUUAACUUUCAGGCUGCAAACGACAGUAGUAAGGUAAGGAAGACAAGUGAGAGUUUGCUUCGAGAACACAGCUUUAACUAACUAUAUGGUCCCUCUUCUUCCUUGUGCACAUACUUCAAUCGAAAUCUAUCGUUGUGGCUAACUAACUAGAAAAUGUUCCCUUCCUUCAAACCCAACAACCCAACCGAAUUUACUUUCUUACCCUUUGUUUUCCUUAAAUAUUAUAUAGUCGAUUCUCAGUAAUUAUCACGUAUACUUCUGUCGCUGUAUCGCGAAUUACAUGAAUAAUCGAUUAGUUAAUCAAAAUAUAGGUCAAUGAUAAAAGAAGACAUAAAUGGGCCAUUCAUAUAAGGUUUAAGCCCAUUUGUACAUAUGUAUACUUAUUUUUCUCGUUAAACCCAAAACAUGUAAUAAACUCUUAAUCACGACAAAACCAUGAAGUCAGAUAAGCUCUGGAGUCGAUCACCAGUCGUCAAAACCGGGAAAUCCGAGUUUCCGGUUAUAAGAUUCGUCCGUGGAUACCUCGAGAAAAUCAAGGACAUAACCGGCGGUCCAGGAGUUGGUGUCGGUUUAGGCUGCGGAGCUGGGCUCGGUAUCGGUCUAACCGGCGGGCUCGGGUUAGACGCUUCUGAAGGGCUGAACCAUAGCAAUGUGGUGUUUGGAAUCGGAAUGGGUUGCGGUAUCGGGUUGGGGUUUGGGUACGGAUUUGGAGUUGGCGGCGGAAUCAAUUUCGAUGACAUUGGAGAUUAUUUGACCUAUGAGAAAAGCUCCGGUUCAAAGUCCGGGUCUGGUAAAGGAUUUUUUUCAAUUGAUUAUUAAAGAAAUCGUUGUUAAUUAUUAAUUUUUCAGUCAAAGUACUCGUCGGUGUUGUCUUCUUUAUUUUGGUUUAACCAUGUCUUUCGGUUUAUGUAUCUCAGUUCCGGUUUAAGUUCGUGUAUGUAAUCUUCAUUAAUGGAAUCAUUAAGCCUUGUCUGCUAGAUUGUUUUCAACGAGUUAGCAGUGCCAGAAGCUGAGAGUAGCUUUGGAAAACUGCUUCUAGAUCCCAGAAUGGCUAAUCUUUUGUGAGAGUGUGAUGGUUUAAAAGUCAUAGACUCAUAGGAGUUUUGUGGGACUGUAGGGUAGUGUUACAAGCAUUAUGCAAUGACUACUAAAAUGGUAUUAAAAGGCUGAAGCUACUUAUUACCUCACCGUAAUAUCAAACUCAUGAAAGAUACACAUAAACAUAAUGACGAUAGUUACAUCAAAUAUAUCAUGCAUGAUAAAUUAGUUAUUCUGUUGAACAAAAAAAAAACGAAACACAGUAAUUUCAAAUUGAAGAUGCCAGUUUCUCGAAGCUCUCAAAGACAUUUCUCAUGAUUGGUCUUUUAUCUGGACUCUUCUUUACACAAUCUAAUCCGAUUUUGACCACUUGAACCAUACUGUCUUCCAUGUCUCUAUCUCUAGCUAAAACCGGGUCAAGAACAUACCAAAUCGGUUUAUUUCUCUCAGCAGCUGCUUCAACCCACAUAACCAAAUCGGUCUCUGAACUACUCAUCUGCAUAACCGGAAAUUUCCCGGUUACCAUUUCGAGUACCACUAAACCGAAUGAAUACACGUCCCAUUUCUGAGACGGUUUAGUCAUCUUGGAAGCUUCAGGAGCUUGGUAAUAUGCUUCUCUUGAGACGCUUGGUGAGCGCGACUCCAUCGGAGAGAUCUGAUCCGAUCUAAUGUCUGAAGAAGGCAUGUCGACAAUGCGCCCCAAACCGAAACCUGAAAUUUUCGGUUCAAGAUUCGGUCCGAGAAGUAUGUUGCUGGAGUUUAUGUUUCCAUGGACGUAUCUCUUGGCGCUGAACUCAUGAAUGUACGUCAAUCCUUUUGCGAUUCCUCUCAAUAUUCUUAACCGAACCGGCCAAGAAAGUUGCUUGCAUGACAAGCUACCUGGUCUACCUGUUAAAUAACUUGUAUGAAUUAGACUUGAUCCUAAAGUUCUUAACUAUCAAACAAUGUUCAAAAAAAUCACUAGACCGUAGCUAGGCGCUUCUAAAGAAAUAGCAACUAUGCGGAUUAUUCAGAGAGCCUAUUCGUUAAUAAAUAACUGAUUUUUUAAAAUACUUUUUAUAAUUACAUUAAAAGUUUAGUUUUUUGGAUUUACUUAUAAAAUUAUUUUGAUGAACUAUAAAAGUUAUACAAGAAAAUAAACUAGACAAAUUUGUGAGUUUUCACGGAUAUUGUUGCUUAAUUUAACAUAUGUAAACUACUUAGAUCGAUAUAAACUAAUUUAACCAAUUUAAAUGGUUUAAAGUGGUUUGAAUUGUAUAAAUCGAAUUUUUAGAAAAUCGUUUUCGAUAAGCUCUAUGUGCAGCCUAGGCGGACGUUUAGUCCCACCUACACUGAUUUUUAGAACAUUGCUAUAAAAAUGAUCAAAUAAGACCUUCAAUAUUAAAGAAUUUACACGAUUUGAUUAGAACUUACCUUGAAUAGCAGAGCCAAGGUCGCCAUUUGGUAUGUAAUCAUAGAUUAGGAGUUUCUCUUCAGGAGACCAGCAACAAGCUUGUAGAUUCAAGACAUUCGGAUGCUUGAUUUUAGCCAUUGCUUCGACAUCAGCCAGAAACUCUUUGAGCCUUAGCCAACCUUUAUCCUCCAAUCUUCUAACGGCUAACAUUAGCCCGUUUUCAAGAACAACUUUGUAGACAAGCCCUAUCCUGCUCUUUCCUAGCAGAAAAGCAGACGCUUUCAGAAGCUGGUCUAGGUCAAACUGAAUCUCCGGGUCCAUUGGCAUGAAAACCUGUUGAGUUUUGAUCUCAUCUAGCGCCUCGGAUGCUGAGUUUCCUUUGAAACAGAGAAACUCUUGCAUUGUCUUCUUCUCUGAAUGACUUGUUCGGUUGUUUUGAUCUUUGUCUGCACGAGCCGCGGAUGCUUUUCGGAGAUGGUAGAUGAAUAAUGAAACAAGAAAGAUGAUUCCAGCUACUGUGCAUCCGGUGGCUGUAAGGAUGGUGCAAAAUCUAGAAUGAUGGUUGGCUUUUUGUGUAUAUAGUUGAGAAGGGAUUAUUUGUGUGUUUCUUGUUUCGCAAGAAACCUUUGUGGGUAUUCCACAGAGCAGAGGGUUUCCUUGGAAAGCAUUUGGACCGGCGUUCAACAGGACGUUAGAUUGUGGUAUCGGACCACUGAGAUUAUUGUAAGAAAGAUCAACAUAGAGAACCUCCGGGAGAUCUCCAAGGCUUGUUGGAAUCAUACCUGACAAGGAGUUGUGAGAAAGAUCAAGAGUACCUUUCAGGUUCUUCAGAUUACUUAUAUCUUCUGGAAUUGUUCCUCUUAACCGAUUGAAAGAAAGAUUUAGCGUCCGGAGCUGAACCAAACUAGAACCGAACCGGGUUGGAAGAUCUCCAGAGAAGUUGUUGUUGCUUAGAACAAGCGUCUUCAGCUUCUUGCAUUGAAGAAGCGACAAAGGUAUUGAACCGUUGAAAGAAUUCUUUGAAAGAUCCAAAGUGAUCAGACUCUUCAGCCUCCCUAACUCUUCUGGAACAAACCCGGAAAACGAAUUUCCGGAAAGCACCAAGCUUUGAAGCUCUUCUGGUGCAAAGAGCUCAGCAGGUAACUUUCCUUGGAACUUAUUGUUUUUGAGAUUAAUGUGUCGAAGGGACAAGAGGGUUCCAAUAGAAGGAUGAAGAGAACCGGAAAGGUUUUUAUUGGGAAGACGAAUUGAGACAACUCUCAGAUCUUUAUUACAUGUAAUGCCUAGCCAAAAACAAGGGUUUGAAUCUGAGGAGUUCCAAGUGGUUAAGACAGAGUAGUCUUUCUGGUUUAGUAAGGCUUGCUUAAAGGAAAGAAGAGCAAGGCCUUGAUCGUUUAGAGACGUAGCCAUGGAAAUGAAAAGAGUUAGCAAAAAGCAGAGAAUGAGAAAUAAUUGAGCCAUCUCUAAAGAGAAACUAUUCUGAAUUAGGUAAAGCUUGGCUCCUAAAACGAAGAAAGUAUAUAGAGUUGCUGUACGCUGGACUGGCCUAGUUUUUCCAAGUCAACAGUUGUAAUUCAUUUUCAUCUCUAACAUUUAAAGAUUUUUGUUUUUUUGUUGUUGUUGAAGAAAGUUACCAGCAAAAAUACAAUAUAACCGCAUACUUUUCUACAGAAUAUGGUAUUUUUGAACAGUAUUUGAAUAAACUAGCGGGGAUUGAGGCGAUGAUUGGAACAGUAUGGGAGCACGUAAUGUAAUGAGGAACAGCUUUCUAGUUUCUAGUUGUUUAGUGGUGGGGAGAUGUAUUGACGCUUAUUAGCUUCCAAAUCAUAAAGUCAAAUCUCCACCAGAAAAAUUAUUGUGGCGGUCAAUUUAAUUUUAAGUCGGUACGAUCUUUUUUUCAUAUACGUUUUUAGAUUUUUAUUUAUUUUAUUUGGAGUCUGAAGCAAUCUGGCUAGUUUUCUGGAAGUAUUAUAGUUAACACACAACAUGGAAAACACAAUAAAAUUACAUGGAAAACAUACCUUUUUUUGGAGAAACAUACUUUUUUUUUUGGGAAAAAGAUACUUUUUUGGGGAAAACAUACUUUUUUUUUUUUGGCAAAACAUACUUGAAGUGUUUUUCACAAGUCAUGACCAAACAUUUCUCCUAGGGUUGUCUUUUUAACACAUGGAAAUAAGUAACAAUUCAAUCAAACAAGAGUUGUCUAAUUCAGAGUAAACUCCAACUAUAACAUGAACUGAGAUUCUAUAAAGAAAGAAAUAACUAGUUAAGUAUAUUGAAAAAAUAUUUAAAUAUACAAAAAAUUAUAUUUUAAAUAAAGCUAUUUAGUUUUGUUAGUUUUAGUUCAAAUCUAAACCUUAGCGAUUUUCAAAUCCAAACCGAACUAAAUUGAAGUUUGAUUUCGAAUAGGAUUUAUGUUUUAAAAUUAAAAAAAAAAACAAAACGAAAUUUACCUAAAAUAAAAUCUAUUUUUCAAAGCCCAAAAUACAAAAAAACUGAUUAAAUUACUAACACUUUAAUAGAGUACAAUAUUGUAUCAUUGUCAUACACCUAAGUAUACACAAACAUAACAAAGAUACAAACAAAUAAACCAAUAACAAGUUAACAACAAUGUGAAACGUAAAACGCAAGCAAAAACACUUUCAGUAGUCACUACAACAAGACAACUAAACUUCUCAUUCUUCUAAAGAUGACUUAUCUCUCUUCCUGCUAAAAAACUUAACCAAGUU
This 59758-nucleotide long non-coding RNA is filed under the name Brassica rapa (field mustard). Its description in RNAcentral is "long non-coding RNA (BRAP_LNC005468)". The record is from RNAcentral. Lineage: Eukaryota; Viridiplantae; Streptophyta; Magnoliopsida; Brassicales; Brassicaceae.